RNAcentral lists this long non-coding RNA (69950 nucleotides) under Ananas comosus (pineapple). Its description in RNAcentral is "long non-coding RNA (ACOM_LNC003287)". Lineage: Eukaryota; Viridiplantae; Streptophyta; Magnoliopsida; Poales; Bromeliaceae. The record is from RNAcentral.
UUCUUUAUUCUUUAUUCUUUAUUCUUUAUUCUUUAUUCUUUAUUCUUUAUUCUUUAUUCUUUGCUAAGGGCACUCGCACCUUAGGCGCAUUAUACACAUUUGCCAUUCUUUAUAACAUUAACAAACGUUUCUCAAUUGUCAUUCUUUCUCAAUUGUCAUUCUUUCACAGGGUUACCUUUACCCUAGCCAACUAUGCCACUCGACUCGGUCUUGAGUCAAUUCAUAAUGAAUACAAGAUCCACUUUCCAAUUCAUGAUUCCUUUUUGUUCUUUGUUCUUUAAUCUCACGGCUAACCCGGGGGUUUCGCCACAUUAACUUGCUUCACAUUAAGUCCAUCAUCGCAGGAACUCACCAGCUAGGACCGUCCUUACGGGUCUACUCCAACCCGGAUGCCAAACUCCGGAGCGCAUCGCCCGAGGGGGAGCGACCGCCCUCGAGCACGGAACUCAUAGCAAGUAUGAUCAUAUCCUUAACUCAAAGGAUUUGUAGUUGAAUCAUGGCUUUACACUAACUUUAGUGUUCUUUACAUCACAUUAGUUGCUAACUCUAGCAAUCAUUGUUCUUUACACCCCACUUGUCAAUUACUCUAGUAAUUGUCAUUCUUGAUACCACACUUGUUCUUUUGUUGCCACACACUAACUCUAGUGUGCUUCAUGUCACAUUGGUUGCUAACUCUAGCCAUUAUCAUUGUUCUUUACACUUUGCUUGUUCUUUAUGCCACAUUACUUUACAUCGCCUUUAGCCAUUAUCAUUAUUCUUUACAUCACAUUGCUUUGCCUUGUCUCAAGCCAUUAUCAUUAGGUUCUCACAUUACAUCUCAUGCAUACACAUAGAUUAUUUAGAUUCUUAAUCAUUCUAAUAAGCACGUGUACUCACAUCAUGCAACAUUACAUUAUUAUCAUCACAUUGUUUUACAUUAUCUUUAGCCAUUAUCAUUAUUCUUUACAUCACAUUUAUUCUUUGUUGUCCCACACUAACUCUAGUGUCCACUUUACCAUUUCGAAUGCCACUCGAUCUAUGUUCAACAUGCAUAUAUUUUGUCAUCCAUUGGUAGUCAUUACUUAGCAUUUUAUGCAUUCGUUAACAUUUACUACAUGCAUUCUCGGUUAGUACAAAUCUCAUACUUUCAUUUGACAUCUAUUUAGCAUUUCUAUAAUAUGCACAUGUAAAUUAACAUCAACUCAUGCAUUCAUUUGGCAUCUAUCUUUAUCAUGCAUUCUUAAAUAGCAUACUUUAUCAUGCAUUCUCAAAUAGCAUACUUUAUCAUGCAUCAAUAGUAAACAUACUACACUUUGGCAUGGAAAGCGACCUAAUCGCUUCGGUGAGCACAACCCACCUCAAAACGCUUUCCGAUUGCUUGUCGACACUUGCAAUCGGCCUCCCGCGGCACCCGUAACCCGGUUUGGCCCGAACUCUUGCGCGACCACCCGAACGGCCACCAAUUCGCGAUCCGUCUGUUCGGGAGUUUAUUCCCCGACACCACGAUGCUCCCGAUCCAUUCUCAUGAUUUUUGGAGGCUUAUCCCGCGUGCUGCGGCUAUCUGUACCAAAACAGAUUGUUUCGUCAAUAACUUUGCGUACACUCGUCGGAUUGUCGAACCGAGCGCACCAACGCGUUCGUUAUACCCCCAAUUAGGUUUAUAGAGGGUCAAUUGAGAUCAAACUCAACUAUUUACAAAAACCCUCUUUAGGAGCCCUAAUAUGCAACUAUUGCAAAAUCCACCAUUUCAUCUCAUGAAUCAAGCAUAAACCAUCUAUUUAGCAUGCUAGGAUUCCAUUAAAAUCAUCUUUAGAGUAUAAGAACUUAACCCUAAAGAUCUACCAUUAGAGAGCAUAAGGCUUACCUCUCUAAGCUUGCUCCCAUGGCUCAAGGAAGGAGAUGAAGAUGAAGCUCCAUCUUCUUGGCCUCUUCUCCUUCAUCUUCUUCUUUUUCUUCUCUUUCUUUCUCUUCUUCUCCUUCUUUUCUUUCUAGAGAGAGAGAGGGAGAGGUUUUGGUGUGGGAGAGUGAGAGAAAUGAGAGAAAGAGAGAAAGGGUCCUCUCUAUACACUCUCAUAAGUGCCAUUUUGCACUUAAGCCCCUCCACAAUGCUUCCCUCGCAACAGCCCAAACUGGGCAUUUUCGGGCUUCGGGGACCGGUCCUUGCGAUGAGAGACCGGUCCCUGAGAGACCGGUCCUUGGCUGAGAGACCGGUCCCCGAAGGUCCAGAAAUCAGCCUUCAAGGACUUAGCCAAAUUUUCCGCUUUUUCAUCGUUUUAGCUCCGUUUUCGCUCGUUUUUGCUCGUUUGACCUCCGAUUCAUUUCAAAUCGAACCGAGACUCUCCAAACAUGUUUUCGAACAUAUUUUCAUCAUCUUUUCACCCACGCUAAUGCCGGAUUUAACUCACGGUUCAACAUAGCCUUUCGGCUCCGUUUUCGCGCCCUAUGCGCACCGAAGCACCCGAAUGCUCCCGAACUUCGCCGGGACGAUUCCAAUGGCUUUCUAAGCUAACUUACAUCGUAACUUCGUGAAUUUAGAAGUUCGGUAUAUUACAUUCUCCACCCCUUAAAAGAAUUUCGUCCGCGAAAUUCAAACACAACUCGAUUCAGCUCCUCGAGCAAUUGAGGGCACCAAUACACUUUCCACUUCGGAAUGGCUUUACACUCCUUGGAACUAUCCAAAAGGACUACCACGGAGUUCAUGAUACUAAAUGCAUCCAAAUUUGCAAGGCGCAUCUCACAAAGUGCAUUAGGGUAUCCAUCACUCUUGGUGGCGGCGCAAGUCGAAACUCAACGACUCCACGCGCUCCAAUACCACUUGUCACUUGGCAUACAAGAACUCUUCUUCGCAUUUACUUUCCCCUCAGGGAAUACACUCCGAUUCUAUCUCCAACAUUGCUUAAAAGCAACAUCACUAGUGCAUCGCUUCACCGCGAGUGCUUUAAUUCCGCACCGAUCUUUAGCUCUAACAUGAGCCACCUCGGCACAUCCCAAAUCCAAUCCUCAAACUCCACGUGGCUUCUCACAAGUUCAAGGUCUCACCACGAGCACUUCAUCUUCUGAUACCAUAUGCCACGGCCAACGUCUUAUUACUUUCGCAAAGAGCUCACAUGAACACGUUAUUUGUGAACUCAAAUCAAACUCCCCGAUAAGGCUAUUCGCCAAAUCACUUUCCUCGACUUUCCACAGGUGGGCCAAAGGCCACCCAUACUACGUAGGCCUACAGCCUAAACCCGUCUCAAUACUCGACGUCCCUCGCUCGCAAGCGUAGACCCAAUCAUCGUUGGGGCGAAAUUCUCACUGGGAAAUUCGCACACACUCCAACCAGGAGCAACUAAAAUCCCAAACCGUUACAGAUUCCCGGGUUGGGUCACACUCGCACUCUCAGUAUACUAUCAAUCGCACUAUACGCUCUAUAGCACAAUACGUACCACUAUCAGCUCCUUUGCACCUAGUGCGAGCCACCAGCCCCACGAGUGAUCCGUGGCACGCUUCACACCUAGCAAUGCUCAGGUGCUACUGCCAACACACUCAUCCGGCUGAACUAAAUCCGCACUCCACGAGUAACUAUACUCGAGCGCUAUAUGCGCCUCUAUAGCAUUCCAACUAUGUCAAGCAUCAGGCAACUUUGCCUAUGCACACCGGCCACACGAGCACGACUCACCCACCUCAAUUCGAGAUACUACUAGGCCAACGCGCCCGUAUUUGGCAGCCAAUCGCUCUACCGGAGCAACAUCUAGAACACUCAAACCAUUCGAGUGUCCACAAGUGUCAUGACACAACUCUUGCAAUCAAUUACAUACAUUGCUCUGCAAGUUGGUUCGUCAUUUCCACCUCUACUACAAGUCUCAUCAUUAGACCAUCACUAGCAACUCGCUAGUACCAUCCAGUUCUCUACCUGCACCGGCAGGUGCAACGCUCUCACCACAUAAGCGUGCCCGGGUACUUACAUUUAUCCGCGCACUUGGAUCCUACUAUGCUACUACAUAAAUAGUAGUAAUUAAUUACAUGCUCAAUGCAUGCAAUGCACCAACUUUACAUUAUGCAGAAACACAUGACUGCAUUAAUGGCUCAUACCUGCCAUGACGUUGUCAGCAGCAGGUUCCAUAUCCCGGACAUAGUUCACGAUAGGGAGAAUUCCCGUUCGUACUCUCUAACUGAGCGGUCUCCUUGCCGCAGCUUCCUGAACUUGUCCUGAAGCUUUCUCUUUUCACUGUCGGGGGAAGUCAGUAGAAGAUACCAAUCCCCGAAACUCAUCCCAUGCCAUGGAGGAAUACUAGGUGAUCGGUUCCGCCGAAUGCCUUUCCACCACGCCUUAGCCGACUGUUUCAAACAAUACACGACUAGGGGUACCCUGUCCAGCUCCAAGGUAGACAGCUCCUCGAAAAGCGUUUCCACAGAGUCAAUCCACGUAUCCACAAUCCACGAAUCGACAUUCUCUCCAUCGAAGAUAGGUGGAUCAAACUUUAUGAAGGUCAUGAGGGCUGCCAAAGCCCGCUCUUUCUCAUUCUUUUCCUUUCCUUCCUCUCUCUUUCUUUGUCCUCUAGAGAGAGAAAGAGAAGUGAGAGAGUGUGAGGGUGAGGAUGAGAAAAUAUCUCAUUCACCCAUCAUACUCAGCCUAUUCAUUGCAAAAUUGCAACUAAGUCUCUCAACUUUUAUUUCACAACACUGCCCAAACUGGGCAGACUUCGGGCUCUGAGACCGGUCUCCCCGACCAUGGGACCGGUUCCUGAGAGCUCUCCCCGCGGCAGCAGAGCUCGUGCGCAAUGCAACCGCUCUCCCCUGGUGAGACCGGUCUCUCGGGGACCGGUCUGUCCCCUUGGGACCGGUUCCCGAGAGCUGCGUUUCCAAGACUUAGCCAAAUCUUCAGUUCCCAGACUCCACACGCGCUCGGGGACCGGUCUCCCCGACUUGGGACCGGUCCCUGAGAGCUGAAAACCUGCAGCUUUGCAGAUUUUCAAUUCCAACGCUCUCGAAGACCUCUCCGAGGCACUUUUACUCAUUUUGACGUCCUCGGCCUCUCCGAAGCACACCCAUUUCAUACUUUGGUCACUUUGACUAAAGUUCGAUAUUUCGACCACCGAGUUUCGAUAUAUUACAUCUACAAUUUUUUUUUUGGAGUCUCUUAAUUCCCUCCCCUUGGUGCAUAGCAGCCUCUUGCGGCCGCUGCACCACAUCAGCUUGUUGCCUCACCACACCCACAAGCGUGGCCAACUGUUCGCGAAGUUCCAAGUCUCCGCGCGCCUCGGAUUGCUCAGGGACAUCACUUGUCCCACCCCGCGUCGAUCUAAACGAAGAUCGCCUACGCGGUGCCAUCGUUACCUAGAACAUGACAACUCAACUAACUCUCAACCUUCUAGGUCGAGUAUGAAACAAUUGACACCAACUCAAAUCGGGCGAAAGUCAUACAAGGGCAUCUAUUCUCAUCACUCGGUUUCAUGUUGUACGCGUCCAACAUGAACACCCUCGGUUGAGAAUAGACAACACCUUGGAUCUACCUCUAAUCUCCUUUUUAGAGGUUUACAACACAACCCAAUCCCUUAACCUUUCGCCAAAAGUCAUAAGUCCUCGUCUCUCACGAGCCUUAAUCUCCUAUGGUUUACUAUCCUAGGGUCUCCUAGGUUCAUCUAAACCACUUUUCCAUUCUCUACUUUAUGCUCUGAUACCAUCUUAUCUGUCACGCCCCGAGCCCGCCUCUUUGGUCGGAUUCGGGCACGCCAACAGACCGCCGAACGGACAGGGUUUCCCCUACACGCGGACAGAGUCUCCCCUGUACGUUCAAGGCGUCGCAAUCAAUACAAUUACAAGAGGUUCCAAACAGGAACAAUUUUCAACAACGAUUGCAUAAGGAAGGUAUCAAACAACAUAACACAUCCUAUAUUAUUACAAUCAUUCAUCUCAUCAUUUUACAUCGCAUUUUUCAUUACAUUGAUUCUCAACUUCCAAAUAUACAAUCGAUUUCUUUUCUUUUCUUUUCUUAUACCCCUAAGGAGCCGACUCAGGGUACUGCUAUCUGGUCUCUGUGGUAGGGCGCUAACUACGGAGCUACGCCCUUUCCUCGCGCCGCCGCGCCGCUCGCGUGUGAACCUGUACCCCCAAAAACAACAACACGGAGGUGAGACUAUUGUCCAUAGUCGUCAGUGGGUACAGCCACCCAAGGGAAGAGCUCAACCCACCAGGUCCAAAGGAGGCACUGCAACAUGUUAGUCCAACAGAUAUAUACAUAUAACAUCAUGCAAUACAUGUUCAUGCCUCACAAAUAUGCAAAUUAUGCAACUCUUAGUCAUUCUUUACCAUUAGCCUUUCUUUAGAAUAUGCAAUUCUUUAUCAUUAGCCAUUCUUUAUUCUUUAUUCUUUGCUAAGGGCACUCGCACCUUAGGCCCAUUAUACACAUUUGCCAUUCUUUAUAACAUUAACAAACGUUUCUCAAUUGUCAUUCUUACUCAAUUGUCAUUCUUUCACAGGGUUACCUUUACCCUAGCCAGCUAUGCCACUCGACUCGGUCUUGAGUCAAUUCAUAAUGAAUACAAGAUCCACUUUCCAAUCCAUGAUUCCUUUUUGUUCUUUGUUCUUUAAUCUCACGGCUAACCCGGGGGUUUCGCCACAUUAACUUGCUUCACAUUAAGUCCAUCAUCGCAGGAACUCACCAGCUAGGACCGUCCUUCGGGUUUACUCCAACCCGUGAUGCAAAACUCCGGAGCGCAUCGCCCGAGGGGGAGCGACCGCCCUCGAGCACGGAACUCAUAGCAAGUAUGAUCAUAUCCUUAACUCAAAGGAUUUGUAGUUGAAUCAUGGCUUUACACUAACUUUAGUGUUCUUUACAUCACAUUAGUUGCUAACUCUAGCAAUCAUUGUUCUUUACACCCAACUUGUCAAUUACUCUAGUAAUUGUCAUUCUUGAUACCACACUUGUUCUUUUGUUGCCUCACACUAACUCUAGUGUGCUUCAUGUCACAUUGGUUGCUAACUCUAGCCAUUAUCAUCGUUCUUUACACUUUGCUUGUUCUUUAUGCCACAUUACUUUACAUCGCCUCAAGCCAUUAUCAUUAUUCUUUACAUCACAUUGCUUUGCCUUGUCUCAAGCCAUUAUCAUUAGGUUCUCACAUUACAUCUCCUGCAUACACAUAGAUUAUUUAGAUUCUUAAUCAUUCUAAUAAGCACGUGUACUCACAUCAUGCAACAUUACAUUAUUAUCAUCACAUUGUUUUACAUUAUCUUUAGCCAUUAUCAUUAUUCUUUACAUCACAUUUAUUCUUUGUUGUGCCACACUAACUCUAGUGUCCACUUUACCAUUUCGAAUGCCACUCGAUCUAUGUUCAACAUGCAUAUAUUUUGUCAUCCAUUGGUAGUCAUUACUUAGCAUUUUAUGUAUUCGUUAACAUUUACUACAUGCAUUCUCGGUUAGUACAAAUCUCAUACUUUCAUUUGACAUCUAUUUAGCAUUUCUAUAAUAUGCACAUGUAAAUUAACAUCAACUCAUGCAUUCAUUUGGCAUCUAUCUUUAUCAUGCAUUCUUAAAUAGCAUACUUUAUCAUGCAUUCUCAAAUAGCAUAUUUUAUCAUGCAUCAAUAGUAAACAUACUACACUUUGGCAUGGAAAGCGACCUAAUCGCUUCGGUGAGCACAACCCACCUCAAAACGCUUUCUGAUUGCUUGUCGACACUUGCAAUCGGCCUCCCGCGGCACUCGUAGCCCGGUUUGGCCCGAACUCUUGCGCGACCACCCGAACGACCACCAAUUCGCGAUCCGUCUAUUCGGGAGUUUAUUCCCCGACACCACGAUGCUCCCGAUCCAUUCUCAUGAUUUUUGGAGGCUUAUCCCGCGUGCUGCGGCUAUCUGUACCAAAACAGAUUGUUUCGUCAAUAACUUCGCGUACACUCGUCGGAUUGUCGAACCGAGCGCACCAACGCGUUCGUUUGGUCCCCAAUUAGGUUUAUAGAGGGUCAAUUGAGAUCAAACCCAACUAUUUACAAAAACCCUCUUUAGGAGCCCUAAUAUGCAACUAUUGCAAAAUCCACCAUUUCAUCUCAUGAAUCAAGCAUAAACCAUCUAUUUAGCAUGCUAGGAUUCCAUUAAAAUCAUCUUUAGAGUAUAAGAACUUAACCCUAAAGAUCUACCAUUAGAGAGCAUAAGGCUUACCUCUCUAAGCUUGCUCCCAUGGCUCAAGGAAGGAGAUGAAGAUGAAGCUCCAUCUUCUUGGCCUCUUCUCCUUCAUCUUCUUCUUUUUCUUCUCUUUCUUUCUCUUCUUCUCCUUUUCUUUCUAGAGAGAGAGAGGGAGAGGUUUUGGUGUGGGAGAGUGAGAGAAAUGAGAGAAAGAGAGAAAGGGUCCUCUCUAUACACUCUCAUAAGUGCCAUUUUGCACUUAAGCCCCUCCACAAUGCUUCCCUCGCAACAGCCCAAACUGGGCAUUUUCGGGCUUCGGGGACCGGUCCUUGCGAUGAGAGACCGGUCCCUGAGAGACCGGUCCUUGGCUGAGAGACCGGUCCCCGAAGGUCCAGAAAUCAGCCUUCAAGGACUUAGCCAAAUUUUCAGCUUUUUCACCGUUUUAGCUCCGUUUUCGCUCGUUUUUGCUCGUUUGACCUCCGAUUCAUUUCAAAUCGAACCGAGACUCUCCAAACAUGUUUUCGAACAUAUUUUCAUCAUCUUUUCACCCACGCUAAUGCCGGAUUUAACUCACGGUUCAACAUAGCCUUUCGGCUCCGUUUUCGCGCCCUAUGCGCACCGAAGCACCCGAAUGCUCCCGAACUUCGCCGGGACGAUUCCAAUGGCUUUCUAAGCUAACUUACAUCGUAACUUCGUGAAUUUAGAAGUUCGGUAUAUUACAUAUCCGUUUUCACUACAUUCGAGACAUGAUUAAAUGAGAGGAGGUCGUUCUUAGAUAUAUCUCUACUACUAGGAUGGUGGUCGAUCUAUUGACCAAGCCGAUAGCCAGAGAUAUGUUCCCGACCCAAGUUAGGAGUUUCGGUCUUCACAGGUUUUGAUGGACUUUAUUUUGUAUCUUACGCUUUCUUAAUGAAAAUAUAUUUUUCUUCUUUUAAUGUGAUUGCGUAAUUGAUACUAGUAGGCACAUAUUCGAUAAGUCACCACGCUUAGAUCAGCCCGCUCACACGGGCGAUCGCCCUGACACCUAGGUGGUGAGCAGGAUGAGACUAGAUGAUCAUAUUAAAUUUGAGUAGUUGUAAUAUGAUUGCGUUGUUCAUAUACGUUAAUGAAUAAAGUGUUGACAUAAUUUAAAAGUCGCCUUAAUUAGCUUAAAAUGAGACUCUAAAGAGUUCGACAUGAAAGUUUUUCUGUGAAAUUUGAUCUCGAGCCUGUAUAGUAGCUGAACCUAAGUGCUCAGGUUAGAGAGAUGACUUGAGUUAUGUGAUGGUUAGAUACCUUAGUGGUACUAAGACUAAGGUUCAUAUGGCGGUUUUAGAGCAUGACAUGACCCAUUGAGUGGGAGCUCCGCCGUAGCAUACAUAUCAUACUAUAUGUGCUUGUUGACCAGUCAGUAGAGUGACAUAAGUUCUUCCCUCUAUGUCACUGUGUGAGCACUAACCUUUUUAUGCCCUCGACUUAGAACUACGUUAUGAAAUGGAGGUCCAAAGUAACUAACCUAGUGUGUAUCUCAGGGUCAUAAGAAAAUAUGAUCUCACGGAGCAUGUCUAGUAAAGUGUUUGAAUCGAUACAGAUUAACAUGAGGGGUUGAGGAAGAUAUUUUGAUAACACACCACGUAAGUCUUGUGACUCAUUGCCCGGGCGGUUAUCUCGGUUGUGUUACUUGAGAUAAUCAUGAGUACAAAAAAUAACUAUUGGGUCGAGCCCUCUCAUUACAGGAGAGGGACUUUGUGAUGUUUGAUCCGGUGUGUGUUGAAACGUCUAGGGUAUAGGCGAAUUAAGUCAGUGAUGUGCUAUAUUAGUUAGGUGGUGACUUAAUAUAGCGCUCUUGCAUGUGUUACUUUCGUCAGGUCGCACGCUCUAUUACCCAUAUGAAGAGAAGAAUGAGUGAGAGAGAAUUGGCCAAUGUGGCUGUAAGAAAGUGGAUCCUCGUCGUAUUAAACCACUUUUGGUCAAAAAGACCAAAGCGUGGCGAGAAGAAUGUUUGGACAUGGUCCAUUUAACAUUCCAACUAUGUUGGAAGGGUUAAAGUUGAAUUUAAAGAGAGAUUAAAAGGUUUUAGCAUUUAUCGGAGUGAAACAAUGCAAAACUGCAGUCUGGAGCAUUGUUAACCGGCGAAGCUUAGAAGAGUAUCGGUACCAGGCUGGCACCCGAGAGAAGCAGCUCUCGGGUUUGCCUCUGUUAAGGCUGUUAAUCGGUGACUGUCCUGGUGCGUACCGGUACCCCGCUGCGACCCGAGAAACAGCAGCUCUUGGGUUGGGCUGUUGAACAGGGGGCGUACCGGUGACGCCAACCCGCGUAUCGGUACGCAGUGCCCGAAACAGCAGGUUAAGUCUACUGCAAAUAAAAGAAAAUGAAAGGCUUUGUUGCAAUUGUAACAGCCUAUAUAAGGUCCCACACCCCUUUUUUCUCUCUCACAGCCAGAAAUACCCUCUCUUCUCUCAUUUCUCUCCCUCUCUCUCUCUAGGAGCUCUUCCCCAAGGUGAAAGAAAGAGAUUGGAGGAGAUCUAGAGGAGAUUUUUGGAGCUUUUGGAGGAUUUAGAGCUCUCCUACAAGGUGGAGCUUGUUGAGUUUAUAGGCUAAGGUGAGGUUUCUUGUAAGAAUUAGGCUAGGGCUUGGUUUUAUGCCUUAAAUCUUUGGUUUUGAUAUUCUUACAUGGAAAGGAACCUCGUAGAGACCAAGAAAUCUCAUGAACUCUAUGUUUGUUCAUAGUGCUCUCAUGGUGGAUUUCUAGGGUUAGGUUUAUAUACUCUAGAAAUGAUUUUAAUGGAACCCUGGGAUGCUAAAUAGAUGAAUAUUGUUUGAAUCACAAGGUUGUAUGAUGAUUUCUUGCAAGAUUGAGUAUUAGGAUUCAAAAAGGGGGUUUUUGCAAAUAUUAGGAUUUGAUCUAAAUUAACCCUAUACAAACCAAAUUGCUAGGUUUUCUGGCGCGUUGGUGGCUUCGGUUCGGCAAUCCGACGAGGCUACGCGAAGAUAUUGGCGAAAAGGACUGUUUUGGCUUCGUCUCCGCCUGGGAGGCCGAGGCGGCGUCCAAAAAUCACGAAAUCGGAUUCCCAGCAUCGAGGCAUCGCCUAGAGGUGGGGGGUGCUAUCCGAAGCCAUCGAGCUUCCUUCUAAGUCUAUGUUUGCAUUGUCGACCAUGUGAUUUUCAUAUUACUAUGCAUUGUAGGAUUGUGAUAGUGGUAUUACCUAUUCCUUAUAUGUUUCCAUAGUUAAUAUUGCAUUGUGAGGUGGAUACAUGAUGUAGUGGGUAUGUAAGGAUUGGGUCUGGACAUUGGAAUCCUAUAGUGCCAAAAUAAGUGAUGAAUGACAUAACGAGUGGCAUGUAAAUAGACGAAAACAUGGACGAGUGGCAUGUGGACAUAGUGUAGAUGAGACACUUGAACUUGAACAUAGGGAUGGUUGAAUUCCCGAGUUGUUGUUAGCCUUAAAGGCAGGGUGACCUCAGUGGACGAGGACUGGACCAUACUCACAUAGUCUGUUUUGAGCUUGGCGUGGUCGCUCCACCCAAGUAGUGCACUCCGGAGUUGUCACACGAGGGACAGACGUAGUUGUCCCGCAGGCGGUCUUGGGUGGGAUGUUGCGGCGGAAGCUCCUCACCUAUGGGAGAUUUGAGAUGUGAGUCGGGGCAAACCUUCGGGUCAGCCAAGUGAUUGGGUGAACAUAUGAAUGGCAAGUUUGUUGACAUAGUGGCAUGAUAGUUGACAUCAUUACGAUAUAUUUCAUGCAUUCAUAUUGCUUGAAGCAUAGUAGAAUAAUUGUAGAAUUUAUACUAUGUAGCAGUUCUUUAUCAUAUCUAUCUAUCUAUCUAUCUACUUAUGCUUGCUUAGACCUAGUGUGAGGAUCGGCAGAGUCGGCGGCCGAACCCACUGGGAACUAUGGACAAUAGUUCUCACCCUAUGUGGUUUUGGGGUACAGGUACUUGCGAGAGCGGACCGACAGAUGAUCGUGGUAAGGGCUUAGUGCCCUAGUAGCUUGCAGCUUUCCCUUUUUGCAUUAAUGUACCGUCGUGUACAUGGAUGUAUCUAGAUGUAUGGUUGGAGAGUUACUUAUGUAUUUUGAAGAUGAAUAUGUAAACCCUUAUGUAUACAUUUUGGGAGGUGAAACUGUAAUAGUUAGAACUCUUUCUCUUUGCUCUCUUGUAUACUCUUGUAUGACUACUCGCUUGUAUGUCUACUUGCUUAGAUUGUGUAUUUUGUUUAAGUUUUUCCUGGGCAAACUGUAUGUACAUGAUCUUGUUGUUUAGCCUUGGGCGGGCAGGGGAGGCUCUGCCCGUUCAGCGUUUGUUUGAUGAGCCCGAACCGACCAAAAUGGCGGUUGUGGGGCGUGACAUAUAAAGUGGUAUCAGAGCAAGUAAGAGCAAGUAAAGAGAGAUGUCUAAGACGGACCUAGGAGACCCUAGGAUGGUAAACUUAAGGCUAUAGGUACGUGAGUGGAAUGUGGGCCUAUGCCGGUGGCGGAAGUGGAUUCGAUUGGAUUAAAGUUGUAGUAUGUUUCUAGUAGUUGCUAGAGACGAAUUCGAGUGGUAUUAGUUCUCGACGCGAGGUGGUUAUGUUGGCGGCCGACAACAUGACGCUAAGAGUUUAGAAUGAGUACACUUGGGUGCUUCCGCCUAAUUUGCAACGUUAUGUCGUUUUGUUUCGUAGUCGCAAAGAAAUUGACAGGUUAAGGUGAUUAACCAAAAUGUUGCGUUUCAGGAGCUAUGGCACCUAGAGGACGCCCCCGGACGCGAUCUGCUCCGGCACCACCUUCCGAGGUGCCCGAGUAGUCUGGAUCCGAUGAAGUGCGGGAACUGCGGGCACAGAUUGCUACAAUGGUCGGCGCGAUGCAGCGCCAAGAGGAUCGAAUAGCAAGGCUGCAGGAGCUUGUAGCGCAGCAGGUGUAUGUUGAGCAACCCGCGCCUCCUGUCGUUGCGCCUGUCGUGACUGAGGGUGUGGCCACGGCGGCCGUGCUGGUUGCAGUGAGGGCCACGCCGGUGAUGGUAGCUACGGGUUCGGGAACUUCAAAUCCCGAUGGUGCGGCGUUGGAAGCGGAGAGGGAGCACACACUUGAUGCCCUCGUGACAUUCCGAAAGUUUGAUCCACCGGUCUUCGACGGGGAGAAGGUCGAGCCAUGGAUGGUCGAGUCGUGGGUUGACUCGAUGGAGACUCUAUUCGAAGAUCUCUAUACGUUGGAAAAGGACAAAGUCCACCUCACUACUCAUUACUUGGAGCGAACGACGAAGGUGUGGUGGAAGCGAGUCAAGCGGGACCGGUCUUCUGACAUUCCGCCACUGACGUGGGAGGAGUUUUCGGGGUUCCUUAUUAGUUAAGAAACGUAUCGCCUAGUGGAUAUCUAUUGUGGAUAUCCUAAUUCUAAUCUCUAUGUGAGAUUCAGGAUAUUUUAAGGGGUUCCAUUAUUCUAUAAAUACGUCCCUUUUUCUCUCUCGUAUCAUACGAUCUAAUUCGAUCUAAGAGAAUCCACAAUUAAUCUUCUUUCUUUUCUAAGAUUUCCACCUACGUUCGUGGGGUUUUGGAGUGUGAACAUAGAAAAGAACUCUGGUAGCCUUCUUCGAUUGACAUCCGUGUCAUCCUAUUUGCACCCCAUUUAUGUCCGACGCAUCUAAUCCGUGACACGAAGCAUAGGCAUCGAGACCAGGGCGAUCCAAGCAGGCUAGUAAAACAAGCAAUUCGAUUCCGGUUCCUGAAUAUGUUGGCUAUCCAGUUCGUAAGUUUCUGCUGCCCUCGAAUUUCCUACAAGAUAUAAUGUAACGACCCAGCCCACUAGUAACAAUAACUCGUUGGGCCCAACAACCGGCCCAAAAUGCUUAAGCCCAGUUAUUAUUACUAGUGUCUAAGUCUCUUAUAAACCCAAUGACAACCCCAUUCCCAUCCGAUGUGGGACUAUUGGGGUGUCACAGACUCCCCCGGUUAAGGCCCUGACGUCCUCGUCAGUCCAANNNNNNNNNNNNNNNNNNNNNNNNNNNNNNNNNNNNNNNNNNNNNNNNNNNNNNNNNNNNNNNNNNNNNNNNNNNNNNNNNNNNNNNNNNNNNNNNNNNNCUGGUGGUAACCUGACUGGAGAUCAAUCUUCGAGAAGACAUAAGAUCCCUGCAGCUGAUCAAACAAAUCAUCAAUGCGCGGCAAGGGAUACUUAUUCUUGAUGGUCACUUUAUUCAGCUCCCGGUAAUCCAAAUACAGCCUAAGUGAACCAUCCUUCUUCUUAACAAAUAACACCGGCGCUCCCUAAGGCGAAACACUGGGUCUCACAAACCCUCUAUCCAUCAAGUCCUGAAGCUGUGCCUUAGCUCUAUCAGCUCUGCCGGCGCCAUCCGAUAAGGUACCUUUGAGAUUGGUGCAGUUCCAGGAACUACAUCAAUCACAAACUCAAUCUCCCUCUCCGGCAGCAACGUCGUCAACUCAGGGAGAAACACAUCCGAAAACUCGCGGACUACUGGGAUGUCCUCAAGUCCCGGCGCCGCCGUAGGUACCUUCACAACUGUCGCUAGGAAAGCGAUACACCCACUGCUCAGCAUCUGUCGAGCCCUCGCCGAAGAUAUCCAAAUAGCAAACAGCGUGCUCCUACAGCCUCUAAAAGUGAACUCCUCCUGGCCUGGCUCGCGGAAUGUCACCGUCCUCGCUCCACAGUCGAUCGUAGCAUAGUACCGCACCAGCCAAUCCAUACCGAGCACAACGUCGAAGUCCUGCAGCUACCCUAAAAUCAACAAGUCUACGGGCAUGAUCCACAAAUCCAACUGCACUGGACACGACCAACAACACCCCAUGACCUGCAAGACAUGGUCUGGGAUCUGCACCUCUCGUGCCUGAGACAAUGCUCCUAACUCUAGACCAUGUAACUGUGCAAAUGCUCGGCUAACAAAGGAAUGCGAUGCACCGGUAUCAAAAAGAGCACGUGUAACAUACCGAACUUCUAAAAUCAUGAAGUCACGGUGUACAUUUAGAUGGUUCCGGUAAGGUUGCGGUGGAAUGUAACGUACCGGAUUUUAAAUAGAAAAGUGAAAAUAAAUAAAAAUAGUAUGAGAUACUAUUUUAUCGGAUUUAGAGAAGCGAAAUAUAGGUUGGGAAUGACCUGUGCUGAAAUCGGAGCGAAAACAGAAGAUUUAGAAUUUUCUGGGAGAAACGGGGCAGAUAAAUUAGCAGAAAAUGCACAGUCUCAGAAAAUUAUGAAAAUUGGCGGGGAUGCCAGAAAUAUUUUUAUGAGGCUAGAUUUAAAGUUUCAUACCAUUCUGACACCUGUAGAGAGAGAAAUCGAAUCCGAAAGCUACCUGAUAAAGAUUGCAGUUCGGUACAGUUUUCGGUGACCAAACGGGGUCGAAACUGAAAUAUUAAAAUUUCUUUGGACUUAUUAAGUAAAACCGAGCGUGCCUGUCAAAUUUGAGCGAAAACGGACAUCCAGAAGGGCUCCGGCGAAAAAUAAACUGCCCGAAGUGAAUAGUGCAUAGUUGAGGGGCAAAAUGGUAAAAAGGGUUUAAAACCCCUUUUCUUCUUCUCCUCCCAACCGAGGCUGCCCCAACCGCACACACACACACAUACGAAAACACACACGCAUGGAAGAAAGGAGAGAAAUCUCUUUCUCUCUCUAGAUUUUUCCCAAAAUGGAUGGAGUCGGUGGAGAUUGAAGCUUGGAGGUGGAUCGCCCUCGUCCGCUUCAUCUUCUCCAUCGUUUGAAGCAAGUUUUGAGGUAAGCUUUUGCUACCCUUUAAUGGUAGAUCUCCAAAGCUUUAUUUAUAAUUCAUAGAAAUGGAUUUAUUGGAAUCCUAUGAUGCUAAAUAGGUGAUUGUUGCUUAAGUUAUGGAUCAAUUUAGUGAAUUUUGCAAUACUUGAAACCUAGGGCUCCAAAAUGCAAAUUUUGCUAAGAGAUGGGUUUGAUCUAAAUUAACCCUCCGUAAACCUAAUUGCUAGGUAAACAAACACGCUGGCGAAGACGGUUCGGCAAUCCGACGAGCCGUUGCGAAGUUAUUAAAGAAACGGACGUUAGGCUUCGUUUCCGCCGGGAGGGCCGAGGCGACGUCGUAAAAUCCUGGAAACGGAUUUGAAGCACCGUAGCAGCAAAACAAAGACCCUUUUUACCCGGAACUGCAAAGCGAUGCGCGGUUGGUGAGCAAUUUCGAGUUCGGGCCGAACCGGGCACCGGGUGCCGCGGGAGGCCGAUUGCAAGUGUCGACAAGCAAUCGGAACGCGUGUUAAGGUGGGUUGUGCUUACCGAAGCGACUAGGUCGCCUUUAUGUCUAAGCAAGUUAAGAAUUCGUGUUGAUGCAUAUAAGUGCGAAAUAAUGCAUGAUAAUAGUGUAAUGCAUGAUAAUUAUGCAUGUUAAUGUAAGUGCUAAGUAGAAAUGCAUAGUGAGCAAUUUACAUAAUGCUAGUAAUGCAUGAUAAUAAUGUAAAGCAUGAUAAUAGUAAUAUGAUGCAAAUGCUGAGUAGGUGCAUAUAAAAUGAUAUGUGAGAUUAUAAAUGCAUGAAUAGCAUUGUGAGAUUAUAAAGGGCAUGAUUAGCAUUGUGAGAUUAUAUAUGCAUGUGAACUUGGUUGAUAACUCCAAAUUGCGUAGAGAACAUGGCAUUGGAAAUAAGAAAGCAUUGUGAGAUUAUAUAUGCAUGUGAACUUGGUGGAUAACUCCAGAUUGCGUAGAGAACAUGACGUUGGAAAUAAGAACGUGAAAACCAUAGACUACUCGAUGGACAACUAGGGUGUCAAAUAGAUCGAGUGGCAUCUAACUUAGUGUUAAAGAACAUAGGUCGUGAGUAGACCUAGAAUCAAAUAGAUCGAGUGGCAUCUAACCUAGUGUUAGUAAACAUAGGUUAAACAGGAAUGAUAUCGAACCUAGUGUAAUUAACAUAGGUCGAAUAUGAACCUAGGAUUGAGAACCUAGGAUGAAUAAGAUUGAUGUUGAACCUAGUGUCGUGAACCUAGGCUAGAUCGAGUGGCAUUAACCUAGCGUCAUGAACAUAGGUUGACAUUGAUUCUAGUGUUGUUGAACCUAGGGUUAAUAAAAACCUAGGUAGAGAGGUAUUAACCUAGUUUAAAGAACAUUGGUUAUGUGAUAAGGGCGUUAAACCUAGAGUCGGGUAGACCUAGGAUGGAAAGUGCAUUGGACCUAGAUAGGUCGAUAUCAUAGGGUUUGAGAUUACCCUAGAGGCUUGGGAAAUAGAUUCCGGAAUCUUAGGAUUGUGAACUCGACAGUUCUAGAGCAGUGGGUUGAGUGUGACAGGUUCCCCUCCCACUGGACGAACUUCGAGGAUGAGCUGUUGACUGAAUCGAGGCCGCGGGUCGAGUGUGGCAGGUUCCCCCUCCCGCCGGCAGAAUCGUGCUUCGCUAGGGUUGAGUGUGGCAUGUUCCCCUUCCCUAUCGGGGGUCUUGGGCCGCGGGUUGAGUUUGUGGCAUAAUCCCCUUCCCACCGGAAAGAUCCCUGACCACGGGUGUACGCAGCUCUGGGCGACCCGUUGGGCGACUUGAUUAUGGAUUGAAGGCUAAGGUGUAAGUGAGAGGUCCUUCACCUUGAGCCGGACAGAGCGCGGACUAUCCGCAGAUGAUUGACUCAAGACCGAGUCGGGUGGCAUAGUGUGAUUAAGGUAAGAGCAACCUUAAGAAAGAAUUUGCCAAUGAGUAUAGUGGGCCCAAGUGUAAGGUGUAGAGCACCAAGUACAAGUACAAAGAAUAAAGAGCAAAGAAAGAAAAAGAAAAUGAAAGAUAAUGAAAAGGCUAAUGCUAAGGAAUAGCUAGUAAUUGCAGGAAAUGAAUGGUAGCAAAUAGCUAAAAUGUAAAGACAAGCAAAGAGCUUUUUGAUAGUUGCAUAUUGCAUUUCGUGAGGCAUGUUAUCUGUUAGUUGCAUAUUAACAUUUUGAUAUAUAUCUAUAGAUGUUUUUGGACUAACAUGAUUGCAGUGCCUCCUUGGACCUUUUGGUCGAGCUUUUCCCUUGGGUGGCCGUACCCACUGGGAACUAUAUUUAUAUAGUUCUCACCCCCGUGUUGCUUUUGGGGGUACAGGUUCGCACGUGAGCGGCGCGGCGGCGCGAGGAAAGGGCGUAGCUCCAUAGAUAGCGCCCUACCCAGAGACCAGAGCUAGCAGUACCCCGUCGACGUGGCUAGGGGUAUAGAAAAUGAAAAGAAACAAUGUAUCAAUUUGUAAAUAAAUUUGUAAUAACUAGAUUGCAUUUGGAUAAAAAAAAAAGAGAAUGUAUAAAGAACUGUGAUGUAAAAAUCUGUGAAUGUGAAUGCGUGUAAUAACAUAGGAUGUGUUUAUGUUGUUUGAUACCUUCCAUUAUGCAAUCUUGAUUGAUAUCAGUUCCUGGUUGGAACAUUCGUAUUGUAUUGAUUGCGAUGCCUUGAACGUACAGGGGAGACUCUGUCCGCAGUACAAGGGAAACCUUGUCCGUUCGGCGCUGUCGGCGCCGCGACCUCGGCCAAAUAGGCGAGUGGUCGCGGGCUGUGACAGUACGAGUACGAAUGCUGGAGAUCAAAGUGAUACCUGCCACCAGUCAUGAGCAUCACCUGCUAAACAGUGUACUCCCAGAGGUACCUGCUCCCCCUCCGGAAUGAACAGAUCCUCAAAUAGCUUCUCCAUCGCACUGACCCAUCCCUCAACAACCCAGGCCUCAGUGCAUCUGCCAUCGUAAAUCGGUGGAUCAAAUCGACAAAAACGAGCUAACCUCUCUGUCCACCGCUCCUGCUCGGCCUCUGUCAAUGGUACAGGUCCCCUGGCAGGCGCAAAUGGCGCUGUAGGAAUCUCCAAUGGUGGGGGCAUAGCUGCGGCUGGAGCUGACGCUGGAGUAGUCGGUGGCGGAACAGUCUGCUCUGGUACACUCGGUGCUGAACUCGGUGACUAAGCUAUCAUCUCACACAACCUCUGCAACAACUCCCCCUGCUGCCUCGUCACCUCAGUCAGGGCAGCCAACUGAGCACUCAAAUCAGGGGGUGCGCUAGCCUCAGGUCGGGCCCUCUGAUCUACAACUGGGGGUGCACUCGCCUCUGGUCUGUCACCCUGCUCCUGCCAAGUACUCUGCUCCAUCAGCUCAGGUCUCUCAGGGGAUCCCGCACGAUUCCGCGCCAACUGGGCACGCUCCCGCAACGACGGUCGACCUCGGCGACGAUACAUAGCUGAAAGGAACAAAUCGGGGUCAGAUACAACGCAACACUCUCGACCCAAUCAACGAAAGUCUGGAAGGCGGUCCCUGUUUUCCUUCAAAAUUAUGUCGUCUGCAGCCAACAUAAUUUCUCAGGCCAAAACAGGAACUCCUUCAGUCACUCACUCCACUCUAAGAUGAGUUAGGACAAAUAAUCAUUGACUUUCGCAAUAAAUUACGCCUCUCGGUCUUGCUUUCCUAAGGUUCGCCAAACUUAGGGUUUCUAGGUCCCAACGACCUAUAGCAAAGCUCUGAUACCAACUUAAUCUGUCACGCCCUGGAUGUCUCGUUCCCCGGGCACGCCGACAAAUCCGCCGUAUACAAAGAAAUUUUCCCUGUAUACGAAGCGACAGCUAUAACUGUAAAUCAAACACUACUACGAACAGUAGUAGAGAGCUGCUAGAGAAAACAGAAGCUAAACAAACUGAAUUUCGUAUAUAUAGUCCAAAUCCAAAAUACAAAGCUACUCGCACUGGCAAGUUAAGUCUACUAUGUACAGAAACUCGAAACAAAAUAUCUACCUGCAGUAGGGGCACCUCUAGCUCAGCAGGACGGGUAAGGCUCUAACUCGCGACGCCCUUGCCUCGAUCCUGAUCCGCGGAAGGCGCAGCAGCCGGAACCUGUGGCUCUGCAAAACAGAAGUAACAACUGGGCGUGAGAACUACUAUAAAAACAAGUAGUCCUCAGUGGGUACCGCCCAAAACAACAUCGGUCCACCCACUAAGUCUACAGAAGGGAGCAAGAGUAGUCAGAAAAGCAGGAAGUAAACUCUACCGCUAUCGAUCACUACACUAUCAUGCUCUACACUAACCAACUGUAGUAAAUGUCAAAUCUGACCCAAUCCAAUCGGGACUGUAAGCAUACCCGUCCCCGGGACUGUGAAUACACCCGUCCCUGCCCCGUUGCGACUAUCAGGCUCUAUCCACACUAACUGGUCCGUGGAGAGCAAGUCCAACUGGCAUGAGCGACACCAACGCGAAAGCACAAAGCCUGACUCCGGAGUGGCACUCGUGGGCGCUACCCAACCGAGUAUGCAGCGUAUCUCUGUCGAGCUCAAUCAGGCUCUGAAAAGCCAAAGUCAAGUAACCAACUCAAACUGGUCUAAUAACCAACAGGUAACGUGCCCUCAGCACAAUCUGAUGCCAAAAAGGCGAUACGGGUCCACCGUCAAUCCUGACGGCACCCAACAGUCCGGAACAACCUGAACGACCCUGUAAAAAUCCACUCGGCACACCAGCACGAGCGUAAAUAUAUUCUAAACUACCUGAAGUACUCGUCUCGAAGAUACUGUGACAGUACAAUUUUAUAACGGCUCCUAGAGCUAAAUCAGGCAGUUUAAACAUGUGACAGGUCCAAAUCGCAGGUUUUCUCCUAAUUCAAAUUCCAAGUCCAACAUGUAUAAACUACUCAAUUUAAUACCACACGCUCCAAAUUCAGAUUUGCUAUCUAUAACAAAAUUCAUGAAUUCGAGCUAGAAUAGACUAUACUAAAAUUGAAUUUUACACAUGUCGACGAUUAGAACUUGGGAGUCAAAACCGAUGUAACCCACCUCGAUCGCUAAACCCCGGCAGCGAGGAGGUCACCAAAAAUCCCCAAAUCCACUGGAAAAACCAGGGUGUCUAGCUCAAGUUCGAAAUCGCCCUGCACACAUCGCAACGAAGAACUCCAACUCAAAUUCUGUCCGAAACACAGCAACAGAGGAGAACAUAAUUUCGACCCAGCUAACCUUCAACAAAUCCAGCAAAUAAGGGCUUCAUGGAUUCCUCUCGAAGUCCUGAAUCCAACGAACCAAGUCUCGUCGAAAUCCGACGUUCCUACGCCGAGUACGAGCCGAAACACUGAUGGUCGACGCUGAAAAUCAGCACGCGAGCUCAAAACCGUGCGUUCAAGUAAUCCAAGGAGGAAAGUUAGGUACCCACCUCGACAGCGAAUCCAGCGCCGGUGCGACGUCGAGGACGGCGAAAACCACGCCCUCGCUCGAACUCCUCGCGAUGCUGCGACUGCAACCGUAUCCUCGAACGGCUCCGCGGCGCGAUGUCGACGUUGAAUCCGAGCUUCGCGGCUACUCCCCCAAGCUCCACCUCGUGUGGUUCUCUACUUCACACUAAAGAGAGAAAGCAAAAGCAAAAUUAAUUAGAGCCACCCUCAAGCAGAUAAGCAUGCAUGGGGGAGUGCACGUGGCAUCCAUAGCCACACUUAGUCUAGGUACUAAUAUAUAUAUAUAUAUAUAUAUAUAUAUAUAUAUAUAUAUAUAUAUAGAGAGAGAGAGAGAGAGAGAGAGAGAGAGAGGAUACUACAGCGACCCUUGCAACUGGUCGAAUAGAUCAUCGAUUCUCGGUAACGGGUACUUGUUGUUGAUUGUCACUUUGUUCAACUCGCGAUAAUCCACGCAGAGUCGAAGUGUGCCAUCGUUUUUCUUUACAAAUAGCACUGGAGCUCCCCACAGUGACACGCUCAGCCUCACAAAGCCUUUAUCGAGCAAGUCUUGCAACUGAGCUUUCAACUCUACUAGCUGGUGUCAUUGUAUACGGAGCCUUCGAGAUUGGCGCCGCCCCGGGAAUCAAAUCAAUGACGAACUCGAUCUCCCGGUCCGGUGGCAAUCCAGGUAACUCGAUCUCCUGGUCCGGUGGCAAUCCUAGGUCCACCCAAUACUUUCACUUUCAUUGCUCUGAUACCACUCUAUCUGUCACGCCCCACGACCGUCAAUUUUGUCUGUUCGGACACAUGCAUAGACGCCGAACGAACAGAACCUCCUCUGUCCGUCCAAGGCACAACAACCACAACAUGUAUAACAAAUUCACCUAGGAAGAAUUUCGAUAUAUAUGGCUUGCACAAGGGCAAGCAACAGAAGCAAGUGAAAGUAAACUAACUAUUACAUCCAUGCAUUGUGUCUUGAUUACAUUAAACCAAAUACAAACUUUUACAUAACCAUUCCAUUACAUACAUGAUCUUUACAUUCAUUUCCAAAAUACAUCUUUUCAUUACAUGUUCUUUACAUCUCUUUUCAUCAUAAGAUGAAAUACUAAAUAGUGCAUCCAUACUCGGGGAAGUCCACUACCUAGGGCGCGAUGCCCUUGCCGCGAUCCUCGACUGCCCCGCUCGCGCUAGGAUUUGCAAGGUUAGUAGGGUGAGAACUACUAAAAGUUCCCAGCGGGUUCGGCCGUGGACCCCACCAACUCACCCACUAGGUCUACUCAGGCAUAUGUAGGAAAAGAAAGAAUAGAUAGCAAACCAUAAUAAUACUACUACAAUGCCUGUACAAGAACAGAACAACAAGUAAUAUACACAUGAUGCACGUAUUUCUCUUUUACCUUUACCUUUACCCAAUCCGCUUGGUUAACCAUUUGGUUAAACCCAACUCACCAAAGCAAAUCCCUUUUGUCGGGGAGAAUACCGCUACAACCCAACGAGACCAUCUGCUGGGGAGAAUUCCACCACCGCCCAGUUGAUGACAACUCCAGAGCUCACCACUUGAGGUGGAGCGACCACCCUCAAGCGUUCAGACUACCUGUGAGUACAAUCUAAUCCUCAACUUGGAGGAUACUAUGUCACUAUUGCCACAAAGUUCACAUAGUUUCUUUGCCUAGCAUUCAUAAUUCUUGAUGCUAUUUAAUCCGUCUAGUCACAAUGUCACCUUAUUUACUAUUGUGUCGUAGUCCAAUACUUCGUUCAUACAUUCAUAGGGUUUCUAUGUCAUGGUCCUUUAUCAUUUCACAUAUGUUCUACAUUGAAAGCAUACAAGAGAUCCCACAUCUUGCCACAUAUCAUUUUACUCUACUCUACAUAGCUGUGUUCUUAAUAGCACAGAGCCCUAAGUCGUUUUCGAUGACUAAACUUUUGAAUUGACAAUCAGCUCCGUUAGACUUAGAUCUAGCAUAUUUGAAGUAUUUAGAAAAUAAAUUUUGCAAUUUUCAAUAUCAUUUACCUAAUGAUCAAAAGGAUUCAAAAUUAAAGGCUGAAAAUAAAAAUCUCACAAAGAGUGGUGAUAUAGUACUAAAAUUUUCGAUGAGAGAUAUUGAUCAUUAGGUAGUAUAAAAAAUAAAAAUCUCACAAAAAGUUGUAGAUAGUAUAAAAAAUUUUUAUCAAAGUUUUAUCUGAUUUGGAGAUUUUUACACUGUUAAACUUGAAAACGACAGACAUCAACUAUUAAAAAUUAUUAAUUUUGAACCCCUUUGGUCGUUAGGUAAAUGAUAUCAAAAAAUCACAAAAUUUAUUUUCUAAAUACUUCAAACAUGCUAGAUCAAAUCUAAUGGAGCCGAUUAUCGAUUCAGAAGUUUAACGGCUUAGGAGCACGGAGCACAACAAUCCUACUAUAUAUAUACAUACAUAUAUAUAUAUAUAUAUAUGUAUAUAUAUAUAUAUAUAUAUAUAUAUAUAUAUACAUAUGUAUAUAUAUGUAUAUAUAUAUAUGUAUAUGUAUAUAUAUACAUAUAUGUAUAUGUAUAUAUAUACAUAUAUAUAUAUGUAUAUAUAUAUAUAUACAUAUAUGUAUAUAUAUACAUAUACAUAUAUGUAUAUAUAUAUAUAUACAUAUAUGUAUAUACAUAUAUAUACAUAUGUAUAUAUAUAUAUAUAUAUCCCCUAAACUUAGGUCCACGUGGUAAGUUAGGCAUAAUUUGAGGCAUGUGGACCCCAGCUGUCAGUACUAAUUCCCAAUAUUAAUUGCUUAGUAGCAUAAUUUUCUUUGUUGAGAUUUUUUUGAAAUUCCUUUUUUUACAAUGGACGAGACUCUUCCCAAAACCGUCGCCUCCACUUCCAAUUAAGGCGUUGAGACCGUUCAUGGCAGCAAUAGGAACAGUCACGCUUCUCUCUCUACUUCAAAUAGGAACGACCUCUCUCCUUCCCCGCCUUCCUCACACCCCUGCUUCACUGCCUUUUCCUCUCCCCUCGCUCUUCCCAUACCUCCUCAUGGCCUCAUCCCUCGCCCUCUCUGUCGCCUGCCAUUAUCUCUGCCCGCCACUCUGUAUCGAUUCACGAACUUUGAGAUUUCUAUUUGAUAGGUGAUGAAACCAAACAACGAUGAUGCAGUGGCGACGCCGGCAGCAACUUGCAGCAGCACGAAAGAGGAUGUGACGGCAGCAGCAAUAGUUGUGGGAUGUGGUGGCGGCGCCAGAGUAGAAGACAGAGGUGGGGACAACGGUAGUGGUGUGCAGCGGCAGAGUAGGAGGAGGCAGUGGCAUCCAUACGAGAGUGAUCACGGUAACUAUGCGGGGAUUUAACAUGGUAACUAUGCGGGGAUUUAACACGGGUAACUAUCCAUACAGAGCAGGAUCCUCUGCUUUUGGAGAUCUUCUUUAUGCUAAUUGAACUAAUACUUAAAAAAUUGCUUAACUAAGUUAUUUGAGGAUAGUGGUAGUUCAAAUUUAUUACUAGAUUCUAUAAUUAUUAUAGAAUACUAACUUUUGGCUGUACUAUGCGCUUGAUUAUUUUGGAUUUGCGUGUGCCAUAUGGUUGGUUAUUAUCGAUUUUCUAAGGGCUGUAGUUUUUUGUGCUUCGCUCUCCGGUGAGCAACGGCGGCAGCAACCCCCCAACGGCCUCUUAUGCAUCCUCAAUAAGGAUGGCGCUAGCUCCAUCAUCACCCACCGCCCCUUCCUUGAUGCCUUUAACUUCUUCAAUCCUCCUCACGUCCCUAAUGAUGAAGAAGAAAUCAAUGAGUAUAAUAUAAGCCAAAUUCUUACUACUAUAUUAGCGCAGUCUACAAAAUAUUAAAGAAAAAAAUUAGUUAUUUAUAUAUUUUUUUUCCUAACCAUUGCUUUAACAGUUGCACAACCAUAUAGAGCAGGGCUAUGAUAUUAGGCAAAUUCUUUGCUUAGAUAAUUAAUCAUAUAUUUAGUAUCAUGCUUUUUUAAAAAAAUUAUUUAUAGUAAACUGAAUCAUCUGUUUUUAUUUGCUUGAAUAUUCGCAUAUUCCUAGAGAAAAAUUAGACACAAAUUGGUUCGACACUAUUAUUCAUAUUGCAGAUUUUGGAUGCAGAUUCUAAGAUAUUAUAUUGAUUCACUGGAAUUCUAAUCUACAGGUAAACUAUAAGAGGCAAGAUAAUUUCACAUAUUUGUUUCAUGGUUCACGAGAGAGGUCGUUCAAGCGCAAAAUUUCUAUAGCAUAGAAGUGGGUGACGAAGAUAUUAUAUACCAUUUUUGGCCUAUGAAUACAUUUAGUAAUAGUGUAUUUGCUAAUUUUUAUUAUUAACUGAGCAUUCAGUAUAACCAUGUGCACUAAUUAAGUAAUUUUCAUUUUUUUUGAUUUGUUUAUUAAAAAUAAAUGAAGAUAUUGCAUGUGCACUAAUUAACUCAUAUAUAACCAUGUCACACUCUUAGUAGACAAUCAGGUAAGAAGAGUAAAGUAGGUUGCACUCAUUGGUUUUAGAUUUUGCUAUUAUGAAAUUAUUGCUUUAAAUCAUUCUAAUGUAUGUUAGAAUAGAUGGCAUUUUACCUUUUGUUAGAAGGAUGCCACAAAAUGAUUGAUUAUUAGUCAAAUUAAAUCCUUAAAUUGUGUUGCUUUAUGAUCGAUUACCAAAACAUUUUUUGUUCUAAAAAGAAAAGGAAUAUGUUUAGUCAGUACAUUCAUAUUUAUUUAAAUAUAGUCAAGAAUUAUUUUUGCAUUACUUUAGAUUUUAUUGAAGUUAAACUACAUGGCAGUAGAGCAAGAAUUCUACAACCAUUGCAAGGAAUGUGAAGGGAAGGAUGCAAUCAUAAAGUAAUUGGUUGUUGCUACUUAUGCAUCCAAUAUAACUAACUCUAAGGUGUUAUAACUUCUUUUAUUCUUCACUUGAUUCUACGAAAAGAGGAUUGCUGAAUUACAAUAAAGAGAAAAAAACAUGAUAGUCUCCAAAUUAUAGAAAGACAUGAUAUUUCUAGAACAGAAGAUAAAUGCUGCUUAAUUCUAAAGGUUUAGAAUGUAGGCUUUACAAGUUUGUAUUUAUCUUUUCUUAUAGUCUUAUCACUUUUUUGAUUAAAUAAUUGAGUUUAAUCACAUAGAUUGUAGAAUGGAAAGAUCUUCUUUUGAAGUGUUUUAUCAACUUUUGUAGACUAUUUAAACAGAUGAUUCUCAUUGGAUAGCUAUAAUACUACUUUUUUUGAUAAAUUACAUAUUUCAGGCUUAUUUUUUAGACUUUAUGAUAAACGAUGGCAGAAUAAAAAUUUACUUUGAUAAUACCUAUCCGUUGCAACGCACGGGUAACUACACUAGUAUAUAUAUAUAGUGCGUCUGGUAUGCUUCUGGAAGUACGGAGCGCUCCGUGCUUCCAAGUCAUUUUCGAUGUUGGGACUUUCGAAUCGACGAUCAGCUCUGUUAGACUUGAUCUAGAGUAUUUUAAGUAUCUAGAAAAUAAAUUUUGCGAUAUUUUGAUAUCAUUUGCCUAGUGAUCAAAGUGGCUCAAAAUCAACGGCUGAAAAUAAAAAUCUUACAAAAUAUGAUGAUAUGAUAUUAAAAUUUUAGAUCAAAAAUAUUCAUCUUGUUUUAUAUAGUAUAAAAAAUUUCACGUGAUUUGGAUAUUUAUACACCGUUAAACUUGCAAACGAUUCACCGCGGCCAUUAAAAUUAUUAAUUUUGAGCCCCUUCGAUCACUAGGCAAAUGAUAUCAAAAAUCACAAAAUUUAUUUUCUAGGUAUUUCAAAUACUUUAGAUCAAGUUUAACGGAGCCGAUCGUCGAUUCAAAAGUCCCAACAUCGAAAACGAUUUAGAAGCUGUAAGGACUGAGACUUUUGCAGUGUAGCUAAACUCUCAGUUGACGAUAUUUUUGUGUGUAAUUUAAUUACAAUAGCACUCGUCAAGUUUCGGGUGAAAACGAGCUAAAACGGAAAUUCUACGCGAUUUCCAAGUUUCACUUAAAGUGAAUAGUAACUCGAUUUUUCGGAGAAAUCACGGUGGGAAGUUGGCUUCUGGCUCGUAUCGGACUCCGUUCCUAGCGGUCCAAUAGCUCGUUUCGAGUGGGAUCGUACGUGGAGGGGUGUCCGUGAAAGUUUUGAGGAGCCCAAGGAUCUAUCUAGAUUGUAUCUAUCACCUAGAGGGGGGUGAAUAGGUGAACGGCCAAAAAUCACAAAUCUCGAUGCAAUAAAAAUAAAUGCGGAAAAUAAAAAGCACACCGAGAUUUACGUGGGAAAACUCCAACUUGGAGAAAAACCCACGGGACCAACACGCGAAAAAAUAAUUCACUAAGAGAAAAGAUUACAAGGUGAUUGCCGACUCCACGGACUCUACCUCUCUUAACCUCCUAUGAAUCUCGCGCGAUCCUCCGGGUUGUCCACGCCCUCACGUUCGAAUCCAGCCGAAUCCACUGACGGCGACUCGAAUCCAUGAGCCCACGAUCCGAAUCCACGAACCGCCUUUCAAUUACGCCCGAAUCCACAGACGCCGUUCAUGUAAGAGCAUCAUAAUUAUGGUGAUCCUUCGCUUAAGGAGUAUCGUAGAAAACCAGGGAAUAGAAACUCCAAGCGAAGCGGAGAAUCCAAAUCGACAUAUAGAGAAUGCGAAACGAUAUCUCGAUUUGAUCUAAAGAGACUAAUUUUGUAGAAAAUAGGUUUAUAAGAAUGAAAAAUCUCGAAGCCUCUUAGGUUGUCAAAUCAUGUAUUCUUAUCAUGCUUAAUCAGUUAGAGAACCCCUAUAGCUUAUUUAUAGACUUUAGAAUCAAAAACGGAAGUAGGAUUUAGAAAGUUUCUUUCGCAAAAAUCAGCACCUUGUACCGGGAACAAGGAAAGCUGUCCAGGGUACAGCAUGACGAAGAUUUUCUGCCGAAGCUCUGUACCUGGACAGACUGCUUUUUGUUCCGGAACAGGGAUUGUACCGGUACAGCCAUGAUGGUUGUACUUGGACAUACACAUCAAACAGUCUGCGCAAACACUGAUGGCUGCUGUACCCUGGACAGAAAUCCUUGUACCGUACAACAAUGCAAUUUUUCGCUGAAAAUGCAUUGUUUCGGCUUCUACAAGCUCUUAGAAACUUUCUAAAUCAAUUACAACUUGAAAAUAUGAUUCUAAGAGAUCUAUAAAUAAGUAUGAACACCAUAAACAAGAUUUAAAGCUUACCUAAGGCAUCGUGAUUCAAGUUUUGCGUGUGUUUGCGUCCUUUCUGAUUCUUCGAAGUCUGGAUUCUAUCGAUCUUCAAUACGCCGCUUACCGGACUUCUUCAAGACUAUCCGACUCGACCCACCGAAACUUGCCAACACAUAGGAUCUAACAAUCUCCCCCUUUGGCAAUUCGUGACAAAAACACACACAAACCAACAAAAUUACAAUAGAAGAGAAAAACGAAGUCAAUGUCAUUACCAAAACAUCGAACCCCUCGCGUGUAAUUCCAAAUACAAUUUGAAAACUCAAAAUUAUAUCAAAACUCCUAAACAACUCUAUGACUUAGACGCAACUAGGAGUCUUGAAGUCUUGAUUUCCUGGCAAAACAAUUCAAUCUCAAAAUGAUUACGCACUAAAAUUCUUAUACCUUCUCCCCCUUUGUCACAUCUCCCCCUUUGUUCUUGAACUCAUCAUCCCUCGUGCUUCAUUCAAUGUGCCUUGUUCAUCCAUCCGCUCUCCUCUUUCAUCACGCUCCCUCUUUUUAUCAAAAAUUGCCAAAAAAGAAAGCAAAUAGAAAGAGAAAACAAACUAGAAAAACAUGAGAGUAGUCUAGUCAUCAGUUACAGGCCUAAAACAAAAGUAAAAACUAUACUACAGAAAGAUAAGCAAGCAAAUCUAAAAUAUCAUCCUAAAACAGCAAAUGCAGUGAAAGAAAGAGACUAAGCUCGAACGAAGAAAUCACUCCGUGUCCCUCAUCAUCAAUCAUCAUCAUCUCCUGCACCAGCUCUAGAACCUCCAGCCUCAGGAGCACACUCCAGACGGUGGAAUGAGAGGAUGUCGUGAAGAUGACCACUGAAUACAGGCAGAAGAUGGAGUAUGUUUCCCAAAUAUCACAUUGUCGACACCCCCAAUCUUAUCAUCAAUCUUUUGAUACUUAACUCAAACUUUUUGAUGCCGACUCAACUUUCCUUCCAAUGUUGUUUCACGCUUCUUCUUUAAUUUUCGCCAAAUCAUCCUUAACUGAUUCAACUCGUCGGCUCCCACCCGAACUAGAUCAAGUAUCAUAACUCCCUCGAGAUGUAGGCGGAGGAGCAGAGCUAGAAGCUGCUCUCGGGUGAGGUGGCUGGGGGUGCCAUAGUGCGUCAGAGUGUGGCACUUUGGUCUAAUGGAAUGACUUGAGAGUGCUAACAGACUCAGGCCCAAGUCACGGAGUCAAUAGCCCAAGCCAACAUCAUACUUGUCACAAGAUGUUACUACUCCAUUUGCUUGAAGAAUCCUCGUAACAGAACAGGAAAUGGAAGUAGAUCCCGUCGAGUGCACCCUGAAUCAACGUGUAUCAUCGCUUUGCCAAGAUCAGAAAUGAAAUGUUGAUGUUCAAUCCAUGAGCGUGCUCGGAUGACCCAGUAGAUAUAGCAAACACUAAUCUCUCCCAGCGGAUCCUCUUUGUCGCCGAUAGUUGGUUGAACAUUAUAGCUCAUACACAAUGAUAGCAAUGAUGACUCAGGUAAUAAAUCCUUGGAUUCAAUGUAACCAUGAGUCAUGUAAACACCAGCUUGCAUAUAGCUCCAAGAAUGAUAUUCAUGUGAGUUGAUGCUUAGAAUCCUCCUGAUGUAACACACUGGACCUUUUGCAAAUUUGUGGUUCGAGUGUCUGAGUUGUGUUCUGAGUAUUUCCAGAUUUUCUGGUAGUGUCGUUGACAGUGUUCCAGACCCAUGGCUCAUAUUCCGAGAUUUGAGUAUUUGAAGUAGCCCAAAGGUCACACAAAAAGUUGGACUUAGGCUGCUCUCGGAUUGCUGUUUUCUCGCUGUGUACCGGUACAAGCUGAUGGCUGUACCGGUACAGGUUGAUGGUUGUACCGGUACAGCCACCGGCUGUAUUGACCGGUACAAGCCGUUGAACCCCCAACCCGAGCCUCGGUUGUGAUGUUUUCGUAGGGCUUGUACCGGUACAGGGGCCCGUGUACCGGUAAUAAGUGGCAGAUUUUGAGCAGUUUCGAACUGCAGGGGUGUUUUUGCUAUUGUAGUAUCUAUAUAAUACCACCCACGCCCUUUGCUGAUCUCCCUGAGCACAGAGGACAAGUAGAGCCCUUCUCUUCUUCUCUUUUUGAUUUCCCUCCCCUUUUGCUUGAUUUGAUGGUUAUCCCCUCUUUUGCUUUUGUGACUUUCCACCAUGGGAGAAACUUGGGAGCUUGGAGUGAGCUUGUUGAGGUGAGAUCUUCGAUCCUUGGGGAUUGUGAACCUUGUUUGAGGCUUCUUGAGAGGUUAGUUGCUUACUAUUUUCCUUCUAUCAUGAAAUUUCAUGAAUUUUGUUUAGAAACCUAGAAAUGAGGAUUUAGGUUUUUUGGGUUUUUGAUCUAGGGCUUUCGGAGCUCAAUCGAUCGUUUUAGAACCUUCCCUUGGUUUGGUUGGAAGGGAUCUAGCUUCCAUUUGGAGCUUAAAAGGGAUUUUCUACACUUAGGUGAGAUUUAGCCAUCUUUUGCCUUUGGCCUUAUGGUUAAUGUUUGAUUUUCGGGUUGUUCGUUUCGUUGGGUAACCGCUCGUUUUGAUGCUUCUAGGGUACUAGGAGUCUUGUGGGGCACCUCCGUUCGGCGAAACGAAGGUUUUCGAUUUUGGUGGGUUUGGCCUCACCUAAGAUGAGAUAAACUUCUCAUAUGAGGUUUUAUUUAUCGUAAAGUGAAAACGCAUGUAUAUUCUUAUUGGAUAGAAUAUUUGAGAAUUUUAGAAUGCUUAAAUUGCACAUGUCAUAUACAAUGCAUAUUGGACCUCUAUAUAGUAGAGAGUCUUCAAUGUUGGCUAGGCCCUAUGGUUAGCAUUCUUACAUUUGAUUGAGAUCAUGUUGCAUAUGGUGCAUAUGGCAUAUAGAUUACACUCUGAGACUUAGAACGCAUGCUUGACAUGGUUGGACAAAUCGACAUUAAGUGACAUAGGCUAGAGUGUAUACAAAUAAAUAAGCUAAUGUCAUAAAGCGGCAUAGGCUUGAUGGAUAUGUAAAUUGCAUUACCUGUUAUUAUUAUGAGAAUUAUGCCAAGUUGAUAGUUGCAUUGGAUAGAAUAAGCUAACGUAACAAGAAGACAUAGAAGGUGAAAUGUGCUUAGAUUAUAGCAAGUUUAAGUGUCAUAAAAGAGGCACUAAACAUAGUGAAUUGGGAACUUCACCUUGAGAUUUGGACUUAGUAAAGCUAAGUCAUUGAUAUCGAAAUUAUUGAACGGUUUAAACCUUCACAUUUGAGACAUAGUACUAGACCUUUGGUUCUAGUGACUAUACCAUGUUAGAGACAUGAUGAUUGGGUACUUGAGGUUUUGACCAUGCUGCUUGCCAUUUUUGCUCAUUCGCACAUGCUUGUACGGUUGCUCCCUACAAGCCGGCACUUCCCGGAGUUAGCACUACGCGACAUAUGCUCCAGUCGUGCGUAUUAAAAAGCUUACGGGGUCGAGUGGGACAGACACAUUCCAAGAGCAGGAAUGUUGGGCUACCACAGGCACUUAGGCGGCACAACCGGACUACACCCGUGUAGAUCCUGAAUGAGAUUGAACCAGAAUAUUAAACAACAAGUUGAUAAUCACUACUAGACAGGUCAUAGUAGUUGGAUUCUUGACAUCCUACGGCAUAGGUUGGACAUUGAGAUUCAUAGGAUACUUGACGUAUCGCUUAUGGCAUCGUAGUGUACUUGGAUUGCCAGGAUAGUACAUACUGGAUAUGUAGUUGGCUUUGAGACAUAUUAUUAUACUUCAUAUAUUACUUGUUGCAUCAUAAGCAUAGCUUGUUUAAGUAUUGGCAUAUCUGGAUCAUGUAGAGUAAUGUACUCCAUGUUGACAUUCUUCAUACUUGUGGCAUAGUAGAGUAGCAUUUUAAUAUUAUGCUUAUUUACCGCAGUUAAUUUAUGUUAUCCUUAUCUGCUCUCUUUGGGGCUAGUGGUGCAGCUGGUGCAAGUCAGUAAUUGCCCACUGGGAACUAUAAAUUAUAGUUCUCAUGCCCCCCUAUUUUAUUUUUCUUUCAGAGCCUUCCACUCCGGGAGGGGCUCGGAUCGCGGGAAAGGUUUCUCCCUCGAGCUAGCUAUCGAGGAUUUGGCGAUAGGUGGUCCACCUCUCUUUUGCUUCUGUUGGAGAGUUGUGAGAGUUUGUACCUUAUUAUAGAGACCACCCUACUGUUGUAUCUGGAGACUUUAUGAUGUAUUAGUUUCUUUAUGUUCUAGUGGUUUAGUCUCUUUUUCUUUCCUUUUUAUUUCCGCUUGUUGGUAGAACCUAGCUAUAUACUUGCUCUGAUAUCUCUAGUUGUAAGAUUUUCUCUUGCUUUACUCUCCGCUUUUGUGUAGACGCCUUAUAUGUGUGACAUAUGGCGGUCUGGCGCGCGCACGCGGCGGCCUAUGCCGCAUCCCGGGGCGUGACACAAAUUAAUUUGGUAUCCAGAGCCUAGGUUGAGUCUUAUGGACCUAGCAAACCUUAGGCCGGUUGGACUAUAGGAAUUAACUCGUGAGAGACGAGGUCUAUUUGAUUUAUGAGCGAAAGUACAUGAUUGGGUUUCUUUGAUAACUCCAAAAUGUUGGAGUUGAAAUCGAAGUGUAUGGCUUCUAACUCGCGAGGGUUACGUUGGCGGCCGAACAACGUAACAUCAGGAGUUAAUAGUUGGGACACUUCUUUACUUUCGCAUGAUUUGGGGUGUUGUUAUUUGAGGCGGGCUUGCGAUAGCGGGGUUAUAUUAACUUGCGCUUUUAUGAUGUUGUAGUUUGAUGCCGGACUACACGCUCUAAGUCUGUUAGAGCGGACGAUGCGGCGACUUUUGAGGAAGCGGAGACAUCCGCUACCUCCGAUCCGGUGAGGUCUGAGUUGAGGAGCCAACUUUGCCGCCCUCACUGAUUUGGUGAUGCAGCAGGCGGCGGCCGGCUCAGCAGCAAGCGGACACGGCAUCGGACGGCAGGAGGCACGGAUGCAGCGCCCGGAGGAUCUUCUAUUACAGCAGGCAGCUGGCCAGAGAGGCUCAGGUCUCUGUACUACCCGUGCCAGUGGAGACAGUUGUGCCCGGGGGGUCGUCCCCUGCACUCGACACUUCGCAGACGACACUUACGGUAGCCCAUCGGGAGAGGUAUAUGGCACACCACCAGCUCAGGUGCCUUGUGGAAGCGGCGACUUUUCCCUUGAAUGGUUGAAAGAGCAGAGCGGCAGCGGCUCAUGGAUCGCCUCGAUGAGUUCAGAAGGUGCGAUCCCAGGAUCUUUGAUGGAGAGAAAGCGACCACUGAGUCGUUGAGGAAUGGUUGAUGGCAUAUGGAGAAGUUAUUCCGCCGAUACCUUCGGGAGGAGAGAGAUAAGAGUUUGGCUCGCCACUCACACCAUUUGGACAGCGAGGCUAUAGUUGGUGGUGGGUCAUCCAGGAUAAUCCCAACACCGACCUAGCAGCGAUUUCUUUGGAAAGAUUCAAGAGCUCUUAUUGGAGCAUUACUUUCAUCCGCGUGAAGAGAGAAAUGGAGCAGAAUCUGCGCUGAGAAUGUCGGCUCUGGGAAAAUGGAGCAGGAUCUGCGCGAGAUGCGCCAGGGGGAUCAGACUGUGGCCGAGUACGAGAGGGAGUUCUCUCAGCUUCUACACUAUGCGCCCUUUGUCGUGCGGGACGUCGAGGAUAAGGCUCGCAUCUUCGAGCGAGGACUUCGGCCGUCGAUCUUACGGUUGGUGCAACCCUCCCACCUUCAGACUUACCAAGAUGUGGUGAACCGCGCUCUCAUUGUGGAAAGCUGCGCGGCAGACUUGCAGGAGCGUCGAAAAGGCUCGAACAAAGGACAGGACAGGAGGCCCGCGACUGAGGGUGCGAGUCAGACGCACUCUGGGAGGCCGCCGAAACAUUCCAGGAACCGGAGCCAAUCGCGAGGACGUGGCUCAUCAGCACGGCAUAGAGGAUCCGAGCGUCGUCAGACAUUGAGCUGUGUGAUCUGCGGUGGUCAUCAUUACCCGCAGCAGUGCUCUCAGAGGCAGGGCAGGUGCUACUCGUGUGGCCAGGAGGGUCACUUUCAGUCAGACUGUCCGAGAGGUUUAGUAUCAGCGCCAUCUUCAGCAUCGGUACCAGUAUUACCGGAUCCCAGCCAAGGGAUGCCUUUUACUUACUAUCAGGACGGGAGGCCACCCGUCCGGAGACAGACGGAGGGGUCACGACGGGCCCCGGGCGGGCGCAAGUACGCGGCCCAGACGGAGGAGGCGGCAGCAGCUGAGUUUGUGACUACAGGUAUCAGUCUUAUUUGUGGCAUUCGAGUUGUGCAUUGUUGGUUACUGGAGCAUUGCAUCUAUGAUCGGCUAUUCGCCGAGUUGCAUGGCAUUUCGUUAGUUCGCUGUUUGCGACAUUAUGUAGCCCCUCGAGCUAGGCGAUUGAUUUGCGGGUUGCGGGUAGCAUAUUUCGCUAUGGUCGUAGAUCUCACGAGGAUUGCAUUAGUUGUAUCCCUGGCUCGGCUGUUUGCUGGAUGGUGCUUGGAGACGACCGUGCCUGGACCAUUUGGGGACUGUGGAGCCUGGGCCCGUUGGGCAGGCGCAGUCGGCUGUGUGUGUCAGCGGCCCGGUACCUGCGGGUAGGGCAGAGUUUUGGUCAGGAUGGUAGUCCGAGCGUGGACCCUGGAGCGUGGAAAGCCACGCGUUGGAUCGUGAGAUCGAGGACACACUGAGUGUGUAGUUACCCAACCCGAGGAAUGUAAGCAUUGAACCUUUCGGCGCGUGUGGAUGAUCGGUUGAUCGGGUGUGUCGUUUCGAACACCCUACCCUGUGAGAUGGUUCUGUGUGCCAACAAAUAGAUUGGCCUUCCUUGGUGUGGAGUUGUUGUAGGUACCUGGUACCCUUGGAUUGCGAGCUGACUUGACUCGCCUUGAGGACUGUGAGCACGAAAUAGUGCGAUUUGAGGACUCACUUCUGCUUGAUGCGUUGAUUGUCUCCCUUACCUAAAAUUGGGUAAGUGUUGGAGAGGGUUUGGGGCCUGAGUGGCCAUUAGCUUUGGGUGAUUAAGAAUCCUUGAAAUGAAGGAUGCCUUCGAUCCGUCGUUGUGCCCCCGAUCGAAUCACAAUCAUGAGCUCGAUUGGCGGGGUGGUUUUAUAGUUGGUGUUUUGCUUCGUGGAGGAGCACUCUCACUUGUUGUGGGACCGGUUGGGCCGUUUCGACUGUAGGUCGACUCUCAUGAUUCAAAUUGAACCACGAUUGGAGGUUUAGACCGUAGCUGAGGCCCAUUGACCUUGUCAGAUGGCGUUGAGUUGUUGGUGUACUCGUUAAGAUUGUGAGUAAUCUGAGUAGUACUGUUGACGUUGGAGUUUGAGGUCGUACCUCAAAUGGAUUGUGAUGCUAGGUGGGGACAUCACGAGGAUGAUGCUGCCUAAGCCUAUAGUACUCAACCUGUGGAGGGGUUUGCGGAAUGAUAAUCCCAAGCCCUCUGGAUGGAAUUGUGGAACCAGUCGCUGAUGACUAGGGGUAUUUUUAUAGGAUGUAUGAGGUUGGACUGCGUUGGCAGGUUUGGAGUGAUCGAGUUGUGGAACUCUCACUAACGGAUGGAAAGCUCGUGAGAAGGAGGGUACCAAGUUACGAAUUUCCCGUGACAGGAGCGUGUACAAGGAUUUGAGUCCUUCAGGAUUGAACUACGUAUGAGGACUUAUGGGAUUGACUUUGACUUAACAGUCGCAUCAGGAUGACUUUGAUAGAGAGCUGUUACUGAACGGUGGAUUGAUCCAUCUCUAUCGCAAGAAUCGAGUUUGGGGACCUUGGACACUUGGAGCAUCCAAUGCUAGGGAAAGCAUUGAGAUCGGAAAUUUCUAAGUGAUUGUGUUGUGAGCCUUCUGUCGAAGCUAGGCCCUUGGCCUAGGCUUGCGAGAGUUUACUUGGACUUGAGUUGGGACUAAGAUGAUGAUCUUAGUAGACUGAUGAAGCCUUUGAGCUUAGUCCCCGACCAUAUAUUGCAAUGGAAUUGAGGGUACUCCCGAGUGGUGAAUUUGAGAUCGAUGUGGAGACAUCACAGCGCCGUGCCGAUUGAGGAAUCAACUAAUCGCCAUGAUGGGCGAGUUUGGACGAUCUGUCGAUUUCUGUUACUAUUGGAAGAAUGGCUAUCUUGAAUGUUGAAUCGGAACCGUUCGUGCCAAGCAAGAUUGGACAGUGUGACGGACGUUGCUAAUAGAAUGGGAUUGAAAGGUUACACCGUAACUAACCUUGGAUUGGAUUACACUCAGUUAUGUUAUCUCAAGAAGAGACUUGAUCUUAGAUCUGAAGGAUCAUCGUUGGAAUAAGAGCCUACAAGUGGACUGUGCAUCACCUUCCCUUGGUGAGUGUCGAUCGGGUGAGCACUCCGAUGGAGUUGUGGUAGUUCGGUGGCGGAUGUACCCCCUCCCCUGAUGCUUGCUUUGGACAAUACCCUUGAGUCAAGGCACCGCCUUGGGAGGGUAUUCGAUGGAACUUCUGGUACAAGAGUGAUUGAUAUAAGCUAGGUUUUACCCUCGACUGGGACAAGGAAGGUGGAAACUGGAAUUCAGCUUUUGGGAGCACUAGCGUUCAUGAGAGCCGAUUGAAGGACUUGUUGAUCAAGCGCGGAUAAGGGAUGGACCUUGCUGGGGAGGCUGGAGUCCGAGGAACUUCAGAGAGAGUUUGAUUUGAGCUAUGCCAAGUCUUGGCAUCGUGGGGUCUGGUUGUUUUUGCCAUGGAGCUUUCCGGCAUGUUCGAGACCUUCGUUGUCUAGCUUGUACGCUGUUAGAGCGUUUCUCUAUCCUCUUUUGAUGAGUCUGUGUUGUGGUUGAUCCGCAGUUUAGCGGACGAAACUCCUUUUUAGGAGGGGUGAAUGUAACACACUGGACCUUUGCAAAUUGUGAGGUUCGAGUGUCUGAGUUGUGUUCUGAGCAUUUCUAGAUUUUCUGGUAGGUCGUUGACAGUGUUCCGACCCAUUGCUCGCAUCCCGAGAUUUGAGGUAUUUAAAGUAGCCCUAAGGUCAUCAAAAAGUUGGACUUAGGUUGCUCUCGGAUUGCUGUUUUCAGGGCUGUGUACCGGUACAAUCUGAUGGCUGUACCGGUACAGGGUUGAUGGUUGUACCGGUACAGCCACCGGGCUUGUACCGGUACAGAGCCGUUGAACCCCCAACCCGAGCCUCGGGUUCUGAUGUUUCGUAGGGCUUGUACCGGUACAGGGGCCCGUGUACCGGUACAAGGUGGCAGAUUUUGAGCAGUUCGAACUGCAGGGGUGUUUUUGCUAUUGUAGCAUCUCUAUAAUACCACCCACGCACCUUUGCUGAUCUCCUGAGCUGGGAAACACAGGAGGACAAGGUAGGGAGCCCUUCUCUUCUUCCCUUUUGAUUUCCCUCUCUUUUUGCUUGGAUUUUGAUGGUUAUCCCCUCUUUUUGCUUUUGGUGACUUUUCCACCAUGGGAGAAGCUUGGGAGCUUGGAGUUGAGCUUGUUGGAGGUGAGAUCUUCGAUCCUUGGGGAUUGUGAACCUUGUUUGAGGCUUCUUGAGAGGUUAGUUGCUUACUAUUUCCCUUUCUAUCAUGAAUUUCAUGAAUUUUGUUUAGAAACCCUAGAAAUGAGGAUUUAGGGUUUGUUUUGGGGAUUUUUGAUCUAGGGCUUUCGGAGCUCAAUCGAUCGGUUUAGAACCUUCCCUUGGGUUGGUUUGGAAGGGAUCUAGCUUCCACUUGGAGCUUAAAAGGGAUUUUCUACACUUAGGUGAGAUUUUAGCCCUUUUUGCCUUGAUGGUUAAUGUUUGAGUUUCGGGUUGUUCGUUUCGUUUGGGUAACCCUCGUUUUGAUGCUUCUAGGGUACUAGGAGUCUUGUGGGCACCUCCGUUCGGCGAAACGAAGGUUUCGAUUUUGGUGGGUUUGGCCUCACCUAGAUGAGAUAAACUUCUCAUAUGAGGGUUUUUAUUUAUCGUAAAGUGAAAACGCAUGCAUAUUCUUAUUGGAUAGAAUAUUUGAGAAUUUUAGAAUGCUUAAAUUGCACAUGUCAUAUACAAUGCAUAUUUGACCUCUAUAUAGUAGAGAGUCUUCAUGUUGGGCUAGGGGCCUAUGGUUAGCAUUCUUACAUUUGAUUGAGAUCAUGUUGCAUACGGUGCAUAUGGCAUAUAGAUUACACUCUGAGACUUAGAACGCAUGCUUGACAUGGUUGGACAAAUCGACAUUAAGUGACAUAGGCUAGAGUUUAUACAAAUAAUAAGCUAAUGUCAUAAAGCGGCAUUAGGUUUGGACUAGAUAUGGACUUAGCAAUCUAAUGUCAUAAAGCGGCAUUAGGCUUGAUGGAUAUGUAAAUUGCAUGUACAUGUUAUUAUUAUGAGAAUUAUGCCAAGUUGAUAGUUGCAUUGGAUAGAAUAAGCUAACGUCAUAAAGAGACAUAGAAGGUGAAAUGUGCUUAGAUUAUAGCAAGGUUUAAGUGUUAUAAGAAGGCAUAAACAUAGUUGAUGUGAAUCCCUUGGAUUUAACUUAUAAAGUAAUAUCAUUUAUAUCGAAAUAUUGAACGUUAAACUUCUUAAUAAUAAGUAAUAGACUAUUCAGGUUGUAGUGACUUUUUUACAUGUAUGAGACAUGAUGAUGAUAUACUUUAUUGGUUUUUAUUACAUGACUUGUUGCAUUGUGCUUUCGCAUAUGCUUUAGGGUCGUCCUACAAGCCGGCAUCCGGAGUUAGCCGCGAAUAUGCUCGCCGAUGGUGUAUUGAAAGCUACGAGAGUUCGAUGGACAAAAUUCAGUAGAGGAAUGUUGGGCUACCACCAGGCACUUAGGCACAACAAUACCGUGUAGAUCAUGAAUGGAUUUAAACGAUAAUUAAACAACAGGUGAUAAUCACUUUAUAUACAGGUCAUAGUAGUUGAUUCACUACAUGCUAUGUUACUAGGGGACUGAAAGAAUCAUAAGAGAUAAACUUGACGCAUGCUUAUGUCAUCGUAGUGUACUGAUUGCGAGGUAGGAUAGUACAUACUUUAUAUGUAGUUGCUUUGGAAUAUAUUAUACUCUAUAAGUAUUUACUUGUGCAUCAUAGCAUAUGUUUAUGUAUUGAUACUUGGAUCAUGUAGAGUUAGAUGUACUCAAUAUUGAACCAUUAAUAUGUGAUGUUAGAUAGAUGCAUUUUAAUAUUUAUGCUUUAAUUUACGCAGUAUAAUUUAUUUAUCCUUAUUUCCUUCUUUGGGCUAGUGAGUGCAGCUGUGCAGAAGAUAGUAAUUGACCCACGAAAUAUAAAUUAUAGUUUUUAGCCCGCUUAUUUAUUUUUUCUGUUAGAGCUUCCAUCGGGAGAAGAGUCAGGAUCUGAAAGUUUUUCGCCUAUAAUAUGAGGGAUUUUGGAGAUAUGAUGGCAUCCUCAACUUUCUUUGUUUUCUUUGAGAGUUUGUGAGAUUUUGUAUUUUAUUAUAGAACCACCUACUUUUGUAUUGGAGUUAUAAUGUAUUAGUUCUUUUUUCUAUGUUAGUCUAUUUUCUUUCUUUUAUUUCCGCAUUGUGAUAGCACCUAGGUAUAUACGCCUCUGUAAUCUCUGUUGUUAUAUUUUUUGUUUUAUUCUUCGCUUUUGUGUGACCUUAUAUGUUGAAAAUAGCGAUUCUGGGGCACGGCCCUAUGCGGUCCGGGGCAGUGACAAACAUAUAUAUAUUAGUAGUGCUAGAAUCUUUAAAAGUAUAUAAGGGAUAAUACUGUGUGUUGUUAGCAUGUGGAUGGAGGAUGUGAGGUUGAAUAAUGGGUAGUGUGUAUAGUGUGAAGUAUGUUGGAAUAGUGUUUAAUCCAAAGCCUAUAUAAUCAAAAAGAUUUUACAAGUAUUAAUAAUCCCAAAAAGUAGAUUCUAAUGGCUUAAACCAUAAGUAUAGCACCAUGAUGAUGAAUUUAAUAAUAUCAUAGCUCAACUAUAUAUUAUAAUAUCUAUAUAUAUAUAUUAUAUAUAUAUAUAUUGAUAUUAUGUGGAGUCGGGCUGUAUGUUAUGAAGUCAGGAGCUAGUGCUUCAAGUUGUUUUCUCCGAUGUUUCGGACUUUCGAGAUCCGAUCUGGGUGUUUGAGUGUUAGAUAGUAUUUAGUUAAGAAAUAAUUUUUAUUUUUCGAUAUCAUUGCCUAGUGAUCGAAGGGACUCAAAAUCAAUAAUUUUAAUGGCCGUGGUGAGCCGGUUGCAAGUUUAACGGUGUAGAAAUAUCCAAAUCACAUGAAAUUUUGAUAGAAAAUUCUUUAUACCAUAUAAAACAAGAUCAAUAACUUUGAUCUAAAAUUUUAUUGUCAUAUCAACAUAUUUUGUAAGAUUUUUAUUUUCAGCCUUUGAUUUUGAGCCACUUCGAUCACUAGGCAAAUGAUAUCGAAAAAUCGCAAAAUUUAUUUUCUAGAUACUUCAUAUACUCUAGAUCAAGUCUAACGGAGCCGAUCGUCAAUUCGAAAGUCCGAACAUCGAAAACAAAGUAGAAGCACGACGCCCUCCCUGCUUCCAUAAGCAUCCUAGCCGCACUCUAUAUGUGUGUGUGUGUGUGUGUGUGUGUGUGUGUGUACUAAUUGAGUGUACGUACAAAUGCACGUAAUAAUUAUUUUAAUUUAUUUUAAAUCAAUGUAAAUUUGCAAAUUAUAUUUAUUUAAAAAUUUAAAAUUUAUAAAUUCAUAUAUUAUAUUUUAUUAGAAAAUAUUUGUAAUAUUCUAUAUAUAUAUUUUUUAUAUACAUUAAAUAUUUUUAUAUAUUUUUUGAUUUCUCAUGAUCUAAAAUUUAAAUAUGUAUUUUAAACAAAAAGCGUCAAAAUUUAAUUCAUAUUUAUUUCAAAAUUUAAAAUUUAAUUUUGAUCCACGAUAAUUAAAAUUUGUGGAUAAGAAUGUUAUUUUUUAACAGAUUAAUCAUAACCGUUCGUUUUUAUUUGAGGUUUUUUUAAUUAAGUGAACCGAUCAUUUUUAAUUGACACAACCGUCCGUAAGAUUAGAUUUAUAAAUAGAAUGCUAUUUUUUAACAGAUUAAUCAUAACCGUUUGUUCUUAUUUGAGAUUUUUUUUUAAUUAAGUGAUCAUAUCCGUUCGUAGAAAAUAUAUGGAAUAUUCUUUUAUUUCUUUUUGGAUUCCUUUAUAGAUGGAUAAGAACGCUAUUUUUUAACAAAUUAAUCAUAAUCGUUCGUUCUUAUUUGAGAUUUUUUUAAUUAAGUGAUUAUACCCGUUCGUGCCUGUUCGUAGGAAAUAUAGAGAAUAUUUUUUUAUUUCUUUUUGGAUUACGCCUGUCUCGAAAUUUCUAUACGCUUUUAUAUAUAAUAUACUAGUUGAAUGUACAUGCAAAUGUACAUAAUAAUUAUUAUAAUUUAUAUCAAAUCAAUAUAAAUUUGUACAUUAUCUAUAUCCAAAAUUUUACAAUAAAAAUUAUAUUUAUAAAUUAAUAUGUUAUAUUUUAUUAGAAAAUAUUUACAAUAUCCUACCGUAUUCUUUUUUUUAUAUACAUCGAAUAUUUUUAUAUACUUUUUGAUUUUUGAUGAAUCAAAUUUAAAUAUGUGUUUUAAAUUAAAAUUUCAAAAUUUAAUUCACAUUUAGUUUAAAAUUAAAAAAAUUAAUUUUUAAUUCAAACUUGAUAUCAAAAAUUAAAUUUAAUUUCAUAAUUUAAACUCUAAUUUUAAUUUUAAUGUAAAAGAGAUAAAUAAAAAUGCUAUUUUUUAACCAAUUGAUUAUAACCAUUUGUUUCUAUUUGAGAUAUUUUUUAACAAAUUGAUUAUAAUCGUUCGUAGAAUUGAAUUUAUAGUAUAACGCCCCAAUAGUCCCAUUGUCACGCCCCGGAUUACUAGUUCCCCGGGCACGCCGACAAAUCCACCGUAUACAAAGAAAUUUUUCCUGUAUACGUAGCGAUAGCUGUACCUGUAAAACAUACAAUACUACAAACAGUAGUAUAGAGCUGCUAGAAGAACCAGUAAGUAAAAACGAAUCGAGUUUCAUAUACAUACAUUAAAUCCAAAAUACAAAACUACUCGCACUGGCGAGUUAAAUAACAGUAUGUACAUGAACUCCAACAAAACAACUACCUGCUGUCACGCCCCGGAUUACAUGUUUCCCGGGCACGCCGACAAAUCCGCCGUAUACAAAGAAAUUUUUCCUGUAUACGAAGCGACAGUUGUACCUGUAAACAUACAAUACUACAAACAGUAGUAUAGAGCUGCUCGAGUAAACAAAAGCUAAACAAACUGAGCUUCAUAUACAUAGUUUAAAAAUCAAAUACAGAGUUACUCGCACUGGCGAGUUAAGUACUAUGUACAUAAGCUCGAAAUAAAAAAACUACCUGCAGUAGGGUGCCUCUAGCUCUGCUCGGCGGGUAGGGCUCUAACUCGUGACGCCCUUGCCUCGAUCCUGAUCCGCGGAAGGCGCAGCAGCCAAAACCUGUGGCUCUGCAAAACAUGGGUAACAACUGGGCGUGAGAACUACUGUAAAAACAAGUAGUCCUCAGUGGGUGCCGCCCAAAACAACAUCGGUCUGCCCACCAAGUUUACAAAAGGGAGUAAUGGUAAAAGUAAAAUGCUGGAAUGAACUCUACAGCUACUAGUCACUACACCAUCCUGCUCUAUACUAACCCACUGUAGGAAAUGUCAAAACUGACCCAAUUCGAUCGGGACUGUAAACAUACCCGUCCCGGGGACUGUGAAUACAUCCGUCCCUGUCCAGUUGUGACUAUCCAGCUACCUCCACACUAACUGGUCCGUGGAGAGCAAGUCCAACCGGCAUGAGCGACACCAAGGCGAAAGCACAAAGCCCGUCUCCGGAGUGGCACUCGUGUGCGCUACUCAACCGAGUAUGCAGCGUAUCUCUGUCGAGCUGAAACAGGCUCUGAAAAGCCAAAAUCAAGUAACCGACUCUAACUGGUCUAACAACCAACCGUUCACGUGCCCUCGGCACAAUCUGUCGCCAAAAAGGCGAUCCGGGUCCACCGUCAACCUGACGGCACUCAACAGUUCGGAGCAGCCCAAACGACCCUAUAAAAAUUCAUUCGGCAUACCAGUACGAGUGUAAAUGUAUGCUAAACUACCUGGAGUACUCGUCUCGAGGAUACUGCGACAGUACAAUUUUAUAACGGCUCCUAGAGCUAAAUCAGGCANAUGCUAAACUACCUGGAGUACUCGUCUCGAGGAUACUGCGACAGUACAAUUUUAUAACGGCUCCUAGAGCUAAAUCAGGCAGUUUAAACAAGUGACAGUCCAAAUCGCAGGUUUUCUCCUAAUUCCAAUAUCAUGUCCAACAUGUAUAAACUACUCAAUUUAUUACCACAUGCUCCAAAUUCAGAUUUACAAUCUAUAAUAUAAUCCAUGAAUUCGAGCUAGAAUAGAUUAUACCAAAAAUCGAAAUUUAUACAUGUCGACGAUUAGAAAUUAGAAGUCAAAACCGAUGUAACCCACCUCAAAGCUAGCCUGGCAGCACGGAACUCCCUCGGCUGCGACACAACCUGCUGGAUUGACUGAAAAUGUCCGAGUCUCGAAAUCAGCUAUCUCUGUAACCCCCGAGGUUUCGGAAGAAAUAUCGAGCUUUAGCCAAAUUGGCUAAAGCAUGCGAAUAAGAUGAAUGGACGAGUUCCAAUUAAUAUUCUAUCAAGGUUGGAGGGGUUAAGAUGAGUUCAAAAAGAGUUAGAAAGAUUUUAGCGUUGUUCGGCGCGAAAUAGAGUCGAAAACAAGCUAAAAACCAAGUCUGGAGCAUUGUGUACCGGUACAAGUUGAUGGUUGUACCGGUACAACAAGCGACCCGAAGAAUAGCAACUCUCGGGUUUGAGUGAAAAAGGCUGUUAAACCGGUGACACGGGAAAGUGUACCGGUACACUUUGGCAGAAUGGCAUAGAAUUAGUCUGCUGCAAUUAUAAAUGAUUGGAGGGGUUUAUUUGCAAUUGUUACCUAAUGUAAUAGCCCUAAACCCCUCUCCCUCACAGCAGAUCUCUCCCUCUCUCUCUCUCUCGUGUCUCUCCCUCUCUCUCAACCGGUUGCAAGAAAAGAGAAGGAAAAAGAGAAGAGAAGAAAGGAAAAGAAGAAAAGAAGGAGAAGAUGGAGGAGAGGAAGAGGAUCAUCACCAUCAUCAUCCUCUUCAUCUUCUUCUCUCCUUUGGAGCUCUAGGAGAGGUAAGCUUCCAAGCCUCUCAUGGUAGAUUUUUGUAAUAUGGGUUUUAAACCCUAGAUCUUUGGUUUUGAUCUACCUACAAGCUUUAGAACUUCGUAGAGGCCAAGAACACAUGAAAUCCAUGGUGUUCUUCAUGAUGCUCUAAUGGUGGAUUUCUAGGGUUUGUUCUAAACACCCUAUGAACGGUUCUAAUGGUCCUAAAUGAGCUCUAAGAACUUGGACAAGCUCUCUUUUGCUUGUUUUAUAGAUCGAAAUCGGAGUAUUGAGCAUAUGUCAUAUUAGGGCAUCCCAAAGAGGGGUUUUGCUCAUAUGGGGUUUUGAACUAUUUUUACCACUUGGAAACCUAAUUGGGGACCUAACGAACGCGAUGAAACGCUCGGUUUGACAAUCCGACGAGUGUAUGCGAAGUUAUUGACGAAACGGUCAGUUUUGGUACAGAUAGCCGCAGCACGCGGAAUAAGUGUCUAAAAAUCGUGAGAUCGGAACCGGAGCAUCUUGGAGUCAAGGAAUAAGCACCGGAAAAGACGGAUGGCGAUUCGGAGGUCGUUCGUUAAGUCGCGCAAGAGUUCGGGCCCAAACGGGUCCCGAGUGCCGCGGGAGGCCGAUUGCAAGUGUCGACGAGCAAUCGGAACGCGUUAAGGGUGGGUUGUGCUUACCGAAGCGACUAGGUUGCCCUUUAUGUCCUAGCAAUGUAAUCUCAUGUUGAUACAUGUGCAUGUAGACAAGACUAAAUGGUGCAUUAAUAAAUAUGCAUAGAGUAAAUGCAAGUAAAGUAAAGAAUGCAUGAUCAGCAUGAUAAAUAAAUAAUGCAAGCAAGUAAUUGAAAUGCAUGAUGAUAAUAAUGCAUGUUAAAUAAUGAUGCAUAGAGCCAUGCUAGUAAAUGUUAAGUAGAGAGCAUGAUUAAUAUAAGAUGCAAAUGCUAAAUGGAAAGCAUGCUAAGUAAUUAAUGCUAGUUGAUGUAGAGAAUGCAUGUACUAAUUAUGCAUAGAUGGAAAUGCUAAGUAGAGAGCAUAAUGAGCAUAGCAUGUAUAUAAUGCUAGUUAAAGUAGAGAAUGCAAAGUAGAAUCAAUAAGACUAAGUAAUACAAUGAUAACUCCUAGUGUAAAAUAGAGUAUUGGACAACUAGCUUCAACGAAGAUCGAGGUGCAUCUACCUAAGUUUAAAGACUUAGGUGAUUAGUAAACGUAGAGAUCGACACAUCUUAGUGUGUGGCAUUUGACCUAACGUGUUAUAAACCUAGUGAACUAUCAAACCCCUAGAAUUGAAUCAAGUAGGCGAAGAUACAAAACCUAAAGUGUAUCUAGGUUAAGUGAUGUGACAUAGAACCUAGGAGUAUUGGAACCUAGGUGAUAGUAUAUGGUAUCGCCAGCAGAUAGCUACGUCAUAGUAUAGGUUGCAUGAACCCUCAAGACCUUGUGUAAAGUGGAUUCCGAACUCCCAGACUUAUGAUGUCCCUGUUACAUGCUAGGGCGUUCGUGCGGGGAGCCACAUAUUGCCGCGAGCUUGAUCCGUGUAUAGUUGGGCGGCAUCACAUGAGAUAUCCGCGCCCGGGUUGAACGCAUUUCGUGGCGUUUGUGCGGACGUUUCGCCGCCGAAUGUUAAGCCGUUUUGAGGAUCAACUCGCCAGAGUAGACUGAAUCUAUGGCUGUAAGUAACGAUGCGGUGCCUCCAGUGACAUAGUCUGACAUGGCCGUUGUUCGGGUGUGGUGCGUACCUGUUCCCCGCCAACGUAAUGUCAUGUCCUCGAAGCUCACGCGGUGGUAAUGGCAACGGAUCGCCACGUGGAUGUCAAGUCUGUGAACUCGAGACCGUGUUCAGCGUGUGCAAUUGAAGCGUAUUCGGCACGCUAGGAGGCUGAGUCAGAGAGAGUGGCGGGAUCUUGUCGAGCAGCCAUCGCGCUACUAUCCGCGGAUUAUUGACAUCGUAACGAUCGGUGUUUAAAUAUUACUAGGUAGAGGAACCCUUAAUGAGCUAGAAAGAUAAGAGCCUAGCUAAGUAAAAUAGAAACUUAGAACUAGUGGUUGGUUUGUGACCUAAAGAAAUGAAGAAACCUUAGAGUAAAGUUAAUACUAAAGUACUAAUAAAAAGUAAAUUAAAAUGAUCUACAUAGAUGUUGCAGUUGUUCAUAUGCAAUACGUGAGCAGUCAUGUAAUUAUCAAUUGAAAUAUAUAUAUAUAUAUUGUAUGUUGUAUAUUGUUGAACUAACAGUUCAGGCUCCUCGACCAUCGUCGAGCUUUUCCCUUGCGUGGCCGUACCCACGGGAACCAUGGAGUUGGUUCUCACACAACGUUUGUUUUGCGGAUUUUCAGGUCGUAUCUGGCGCGGCGCGCGCGCGAGGCGAGGGCGUAGCUCAGUAGAUAGCGCCCCACCACAGAGACCGAGGUAGCAGUACCCUGAGGCAGUCUAGCUUAGGGGUCUAGAAGACAAGGAAAAGAAAAUGUAUCAAACUUGUAAACUCUGAUGUAAUAAUGAGAUUGUAAUUUGGAAGUUAAAAUGUAGACUGAAACUGUGAUGUAUAACGUGAUUGUGAAAUGAAUGCUUGUAAUAGCAAGUAGAUUAUGUAUUUGAUACUUCCUUAUGCAAUCUGGAUUGAUAUCCGUUCCUUAUUGGAACAUUCGUUGAUUGUUUGGAUUGCGACGCCUUGGACGUACUGGGGAGACUCUAUCCGCGUACAGGGAAAUUCCCGGUCCGUUCGGCGGUCUGUCGGCGGCGCCGCGACCCGGUCCAAAUUGGCGGUUGGUCGCGGGGCGUGACAAUCUCCAAGCUAUGAACAUCGAAAAUCCACCAUUCAGUCCAAAUAUACAGCAGCAGAGAAGAGAAGGGUUUCGACCAAGCUAACCUUCACCAAAAUCCACAAGUAAGGGCUUCAUGAUUUCUCUCGCAGUCCCAAAUCCAACGAACCAAGUCUCGUCGCAAUCCGACACUUCUACGUCGAGUACGAGCUGAAAUACUAACGGUCGACUGCGAAUUUCAGCAAAACAGCAUCCUGGAGCUCGAAGAAGUAAAAACUAGCCAAAACAAAGGAAGUGCUAGAUAACCAACCUCGACCGCGACUAGCACUGGUGCGACGUCACAAACGGCGAAAAUCCGCACUCGCCCGGCCUCCUCGCGAUGCAACGGCGGCAACCGUAUCCUCGAACGGCUCCGCGGCGCGACGUCGGCGACGAAAGCUCCAACCGAGCCCUUCCUUGCCUUCAACCGGAUGAGAGUGAGAGAGAGAUGAAGAUGGAGCAAAAUGGCUCCUCUCUCUCUCUACGCAAAGCUAUAUAGAGAGAAAGAGAGUUGGUGAUACAAACGAGGGAUAAAAUUACCCAAUUAGCCCUUUACCUACCCUCUUGUACCGGUGCACGGGCUCCUGUACCGGUAUAAGAGCCAACCCGAGAGCAACUUGUGCGUAGCCUCGCUGGUUGUACCGAUACAGCCACGUUGGUUGUACCGAUACAGCAAGCGGAGAAAUCUGCUGUUUUGCAGAUUUCUUCGCUAUAAGCUGCCCUCGCGUCGCACGGAGUCUGUUUUGCGUCUAUUUGACGCAAACGGAACUCGCACUUGUCCCGACACUCUCCAGAGCUGCCGACAAGCCACCACAGCUGUACACCAGGGACCUCACACCUGCAGUAGGAGCACCUCUAGCUCGGCUUGUUGGGUAGGCCUCUAACUCGUGACGCCCUUACCUCGAUCCUGAUCCGCAACAGCAGCAGCCGAAGACGAUUGCUCUGCAAAAACGGGGUAAAAACAGGACGUGAGAACUACUGUAAAAACAAGUAGUCCUCAGUGGGUGCCGCCCUCAACAACAUCGGUCCACCCACUAAGUCUACAGAAGAGAGCAAAGGUAGAAUAAAUGCUGGAAUAAAAUCUACAGCUACCAAUUAUUACACUAUCAUGCUCUAAGCUGACCUACUGUAGUAAUGUCACAUCUGACCCAAUCUCUUUAGGGACUGUAAACAUACCCGUCCCAGAGACUGUGAACACACCCGCCCCGCCUAGUUGAGACUAUCCAGCUACCUCCACACUAAUCAGUCCGUGGAGAGCAAGUCUAACUGGCAUGCACGACACCUAACACAAAGUAUGGCGCCCGAUACGGAGUGCACUCGUGGAGCUACCCAAAGCCGAGAUGUCAGCAUACUAAUUGUGAGUUCAAUCCAGGCUCUCUCAAGCCAAAGUCAAGUAACCGCUCUAACUGUCAAUAACCAACAGGCACGCCGCUGCGGCACAAUCCGACCGCCAAAAGGCGAUAUGUGCACGUCCACGCCCGAAGGCACCCAACAGUCCCGAACAGCUGAACCUACUAGUAACAAUACACAUCGCAUCACAGCACGACACAUGAACUCUAUUACCUGGGUAUCCGCAUAUCGAUACUGCGACGAUACAAAUUAAAACGCUCCUAGAGCAAAUCAGUAUUUUAACGAAUAUGAACAUUUAUAUUCUCGGUUUCUCCUAAAUCAAAUCCAAUCCAACCAUAUAAUAUAUGGUUACUAAUCAUGUCCUCAAUGCUAGAUUAUACCAUUGAUACAAUUAACUCGAAAUUGAUGCUAACAACAUGAUUACAAAACUGGAAUCAUACAUGUCAACUAAUACGUGUGCUUAGAAUAACCGAUGUAUACCCACCUCCUAAAACUAUACUAAUAUUAAUAGUAUUGAGCCCUCGUAGCUCCAAUAAGUUGUUUCCAAUGAUGACUUUCCGAAUCGACGAUACCACUUCGUUACAAUUGAUCUAAUAUUUGAAACUUCUAGAAAAUAAAUUUCGUAAAUUUUUCGUAAUCAUAAUAAAGUCCAUCAGUGGCUAAAAUGAACGUGCAAAUCGGAACAGACGUCCUAAAAAGGAUGAUCGGAGUACCUUUUCAAUUAAGAUCGGAGUUAUUGAUCUUAUCUAUUGGUGAUUAAGAUUUUUAUCAAACAAUUCACAAAUUUUGAUUCUUUAAACCUAAAUCUAGCAAUUAUCCAUAGCUCAACCAAAAUUAUGUCACAAUUGUGCACCUCUUGAUCCGCAAGGUUAAUGAUGUCGAAAUAAUUAUAAAAAUUUAAUUUUUAGUAAGUUUAAAUGCUGUAAUAACGUUAUACGUGUGAAUCGUUUGAUUUGAGCUCUAAAUCAUCCGAAAACAACUUGUGAGUACGAGGCGAAUCGUACUCAUAAUAGUAUUUAUAUAUAAGUAUAUAAUAUAUAUAUAUAUAUUAUAGUAUUAUAUAUUAUAUAUAUAAAUGAUAUAUAUAUAUAUAUAUAUCAUAUAUACACGUGUUGGACUGCUAUAUAUCAGGUAAUACGGAGAGCUUCCGUGCAUACAAGUUGUUUCGAUGAUAGCGAGUUUCCCAAAUGAUCGAUUGCUCCAUUAGACUGAUCAUACUAUUGAAAGUUUUGGAAUUAACAUUUUAAUAGAUUUUUCCGAUCAUUAUUAGCUAGUGAUAACAAGUCUCAAAUUGAGAUGUGAUUGCAUUUGUAAAUUUAACGGUGUAAAAUAAUCCAAAUCAGAUGAAAUUUUUUAAAAAUUUUUUUUUUACUAUUUAGAGUAAGAUCAGUACUUCUGAUCUUAAAUUCAAGUCUUCUAUCAUUAUUUUUUAUGAGAUUUUUAUUUUCAGUUGUUCAUUUUUAGACUACUCGUUUGAUAGGUAAAUAAUACCUAAAAAUUAUGAAAUUUAGUUUUCAAAUACUUUCAAUAGUGUAGAUCAAGUCUAACGGAGGCGAUCGUCCAUUUGAAAAUGGCAUCAUUGAAAACAACUUGGUAGCACAGAGGUGUCCGUGCUACCGAUAGUAUAGCAGAUAUAUAUAGUCCGGCUGGAAUACUAUCGAUAGCACAAAGGAUUUGGUGCUAUCGAGUUUUCUACCAUUAGAUUUAACCCUUCGAGUAAUUUUACCCAUUAGAUUAUACUAUUCAACCAACCACUCACACAACCCUAGGGGGCCUACAUCAUCCUAACCACACAUUUCUCAAUCCAAAGGCUAAUAGAAGCAAUAACUUAGUGCUAUUAAUAGUAUUUCAGCCUAGUUCUAUAUAUAUAUAUAUAGAGAGAGAGAGAGAGAGAGAAUCCGGCUACUAUACUUUUAUGAGUAUUGGCUCUCUUAUACUCAUAAGUUUUCGGCCCUUCGAUUUAUUCUAUUGAUCAUUUUCAUCCGUUAGAUCAUACUAUUCAACCAACUACCUACUCAACCGUAGGGGACCGCUAUCAUUCUAAGUGAGGACCACCAUCAUCCUAACCACACAUCCCAUCAAUCAACGGUUAAAAAUUUAUGAGUACAAGGGGGUCUAUACUCAAAAGAGUAUAGUAGCCCCAACCUAUAUAUAUAUAUAUAUAUAUAUAUAUAUAUAUAUAUAUAUAUAUAUAUAUAUAUAUUGUCACAUAUAAUCAAACACAUGGCUUAAGAAUUUCUCCAUUUUUUCCUGCUCCAAUGCAAUCCAGACAUUUAUGCCACCCCUCAUUCCCAUGCCAUUUCCCCCAGAGAGAAGCAGCACAAACUCAUCCAUCCCACUAACCACAGGCCCACCAUAAACUGGCUUUCCACACCCAAAAUCCAACUCAUGGAAUGGAAGCUUCCACCAGGCAGAUACAAAAAAGUUUCCAUUCAGAGUAGAGNUAUAUAUAUAUAUAUAUAUAUAUAUAUAUAUAUAUAUAUAUAUAUAUAUAUAUAUAUAUAUAUAUAUAUAUAUAUAUAUAUAUAAUCAGUCUUACAUGAUUAAAUAUUCAACAUAUAUAAACGGGCCAUUACAAAAGAAAAAAAAAAUAUAAGUUAAAAGAAAAUAAAAAAGGUCGUUUUUUACUCGCAAAACCCCAAUGUACAAUUCAUUGGAAGUGGAUACCUUGCUAACUGUUAGCUGGCGAGAGAGAAGACAGCUAGGAAUGCAUGCACGUCCCAAAAGGCGAAGAUAUUAUUGUCUGCAUCCCACCAAUACAGCAUUGCAUUUCGUACAUUGUUCUUUUUCAGCCACUUAUCCUCCUCCACAUUUCAAUCUCAAUCUUUGGGGUUUGAGUCUUCAAUUAUUUUCUUCUAUUCCUUCUGAACUUGCUCUCUGGUGUUUUCUACUUAAAUAGCAAGUCUCAACACCCAAACUUAUAGCUGCAAUAACUAAUUCAAAUUUAUAGUCACUACAACAGAAUUAGAUUAUAGGGACAUAUGUUUGGGACACUUUUGAGUAAGUGUCACAUUUAUUCUAAAACUUAAAAACAGAUCUACUAAUGCUUAAAUAUAAAGCUCAAUCCAACUAAAAAUAAAAGAUUACUCUACUUAAUCCACCACACCCAGUUUAUUUGGCCCGAUUACAAACAGAAAAGAAAAAAAAAAGAAAAAUCAAUUACCAUCUUUUCUUCUCUCUUCACUCAAUCCACUGAAAUUCUAGACGAAGAGUCUUUACUGUCGUCCUUCUCCGCCACCGCAGCCAACGAGAUAGAGUUUCGACGGUUGCUAAAUGUUUAAAUAAGUGUUGGUAAAUUAGCAGCACUCUUUUAGGUUAUAGCGACACUCUUUAACUGUCACUAUAUACCUAGCGACCCCACAUAUAGCAACACUUUUUAAAAGUGUCGGUAAUUUUAGCUAGCAGCACUUUUUUGACAUGUACCUACAUUUAAAAGUGUUGCUAUAGACCGUUUUUGUUGUAGUGAGUAACUUAUUCAUUACAAAAAAUUUUCUGUGCGGUUAAAAGUAACGAAUUCGAUUUUUGGAAUUCUAGGCAUUCACGAUUUGGAUAAUAUAUUUUACCAACAAUAAUAUUUAUCUUAUUUUGAAAAAACUAAUCUAAAGAUCAGAUAUGGUUACGUACUAGAAAUACGAACACACAUCUUAACUACCAAAUUCUAUAUAUAUAUAUAUAUAUACCAAAUAAAUAAAAUAAGAUUAAUAUUUAUACAUCUUGUUUUGUAGGCACUAAAAGCUGUAUCCUUUCGAGUCCACACGGAGAGAAAGAGUUCAACUGGUACAGUGCGAAGCGAGGGGGGUUGUGGGUGCGCUUGUUUUUCUUUUUAUUCUCUCCUCUGAUUGCGUUUAGAAUUUGCUCCCGAACAUUUCCUAGCUCUGGACCCAACUCGAUCAAGCUGGGUCAGGUUUGAACUGUGCCACAUGGCACGUAGUGAGUGGACGAAUACCACGACUUUAUUAUAUUAUUAUUAUCAUUAUUUUUCCCACGUAUCCUCAGAAAUAUAUGGGGAUGCAACUAUGUGGAUAUUCAAUGCCCCAGUUUCAUGGACACACGAUUCUACAAAUUCCCAUGAAAUUGAAUGCUGCUAAAAAAAUAUCUUUAUCUAUAGUAGUAGAAUAUCAUANNNNNNNNNNNNNUCUUUCUUUUUUUUUUUCUACUAAUUUAUGGAGAGAUUGUUUUUUUAUAAUUUAUUGUAAUUUUUUUUUCAUUAUAGUUUUUUCUUUCUCAUUAUAAAAAUUUAAAAUAAUUUUUCAGAAGAGAUAAUAUGAAUGAAAUAUUAGAGUUUAGAGUGUUAGAUGUUUAUUUUAGAAAUUUGAAGGCAAAGUAAAACUCUGUAAAAGCUCAAGGGUAACCGUGCAAUUUACUUAUAUUUUAGACAUCAACUUUUACUGCUAUUAUAAAUAUAAUUUAUUAUUUUUUAUAAAUUUUUUAUUUUUUUAUAUUUUUCUUAUAUCUUUAUUCUUAUAUUUUACUGUAAUAGCUGCUGCUUCUUCUUCAGUUUUUUUUUUAUUUUUGACUCAUCACUUUUUUUUGUUGUUCUGUUAUUUUAUUUAUUUAUUAAUUUUGCAAUAUCGAUGGGCUGCAACGCACGAGUUUUUUUACUAGUUCACAUUAUAGGCAUGUUUGUUAUAUAUAUCAAAAAUAAAGGAAAAAAUAAUUAUGUUAUUUUCGACCAUAGAUGUCCACUUUUGUUUUAUUUGAUUCACCAUCAGGUAUAAUUAUUUGUAACUCUUAUUUUCCAAAACUUGGAAAUUUAUUCUUCGGAAGAUGACAAAGCCAAUUAAAGGGUGUAUUGUUUUUGUGAAAACCAUCAAAAAAUUAUUUUUCGCUUGAAAUUUUUUUAUGUAUUUGUUUUCUCAUAAAAAUAUUUUUUUAUAAAUUAAUUUUAUAUAUUUGCUGAAAAUUUGGGCUUUUGUUUUUCGCCUGUAGCGGGCGAAAAAUGAAAACUCUCCCACUGAAAAAAUGCGGCGCAAGGUCCCGGCCGUCGAGCUCACAACAAGAGGUGGGAAUGUGUAGACCAAACUCCUCUUUAUUUCGUUAGAAUGUUGCAUACACCACGUGCAUUAUAUUGUGCACCAUUUCUUUUCAUGUAUCAAUUAUUUUUCACUAUAUUAUAUAAUCCCUGCUAUUGAUAUUUAGUAACAGUUAAAUUAACAUUAUAAGAUAAGCUAGACGCGUUAUUAAAUUGGAGUGCAUUGGUGAACUAGGUGUACACAACAAUAUUCGUCAUUCUAAUAGAUAUUCACUCAUUUUAAUUGGAUAAUAUAUAUAUAUAUAUAUAUAUAUAUGUAUAGACUCUAGAGUAGGGCUACUAUACUCUUAUGAGUAUAGAACCCUUCAUACUCAUAAGUUGUUUUUGAUGUGGGAGUUUUCGAAUCGACGACCCACACUAUUAAACAUGAUCUAGAGUAUUUGAAACUUCUAAAAAAUAAAUUUCGUAAUUUUUCGAAAUCAUUAUAAAGUCCAUUAAGCAGAUAUAAAAUGAACAGGUAAAAUUGAACAACAUCCUAAACAUAGAUGAUCGGAUCCUUCAAUUUAACAUCGAAGUUAUUUAUUCUUAUUUAGGUAGUGAAUAGAAUUUUCUAUCAAAAAUUCAAUCUAUUCCGAUUCUUUUUCACCGUUAAACUAGCAAAUAUCUCAUACCGGCCAUUAAAAUUGUCAGUUUUUAACUAGCAAAUUCAUUUUUUUUUUCUUACUGACCGUCCCUAGAGCAAGUGGAAAAGGGCUUGGUUGUUGGUACCCAUGACUCAAGUUCGAAUCCUAGUUGAUUCACAUUUCCAGCAAAGUUUAUUUCUAAAAAAGAAAAGUCAGUUUUGUGAGCUUUUGAUCGUAAGGUAAAUGAUAUCGAAAAAUUAUAAAAUUUGAUUUCUAGAAGUUUAAAUGCUCUACAUAAUAUUUAAUGGUAUGGAUCGUCGAUCCGGUCGGAAGCUCUAUCAUCGAAAACAGCUUAUAAGUACGAAGGCGAUCGUACUAAUAAGAGUAUAGUAGCCGGACUUUAUAUAUAUAUUAGUUAUAGUGCAUGUGCGAUACACGUCUCAUUUAAUUAAAUUAAAUUUAUACAUAUUUUUUAAAUUUAAAUAAUUAUUGGUGGUAUAAAUCUAUAAAUCAUUUUUUUUUCUAACUUUAAUUUUUUUUUAAUGUGCAUUCAAAUUUUAAAAAUUUGAGGUAUUUCUAAAUUUUAAAUUAAUGAAUUUAGAUUUAAAUUUAUGAACAAAACUCAAAAUAAAUUUAUUUUGAAUCCAUAAUUUGAAUAUAAAUAAUUAUUAGAGAUAUUGAUUUAUUUAUCAUCCUAUCUAUUUUUCAAAUUUGAUAUAUUUUCAAGUUAAUUAAUUAAUUAUUUUCGACUUGAAAUACUGUUACACACCCAAAUAUUAAAAUUUUAAUUAAUUUUAAAUUUUGAAUUAAAAUAUUAAUUCACAUUUGAAAUUAUGAAAACCAAAUUUAAAAUUUAAAAUUGAUUGAUAAGCUUAUUUAAAUCAUUCUAUUUUUCAAACCUAAUUUCUUUUUAGUUAGUUAAUUGAGAGAUAAUGGAUACUAAAUAUUUUUAAUAUUUGUUGCGUAGAAAUAUUCGUUUUUUGAUGAGUAUGGAAUUUUCUUUAUGGGGCGGUUGUAAAAAAAAUAUUUUACAGCAGAUAUUCUUCGGUUGACAUGAAUUUGGAUAAGUAUGAAUUUUUUUUGUUCUUGUAAAUGGAAUGCAAUAUUUUUUCCUACUAAUUAAAAAAAUAUCUGUCAACAACUAUUUUAAUAAUUAUCUCAAAUCAAUAUAAAUUUAUGAAUCACAUUUAUCUACAAAUUAAAAUUUUUAAAUUAUAAAUUCAUAUGUUAUGUCUUAUUGAAAGAUAUCUUAUAUUUUAAAUAUUAGUUGAUAAAAUUGAGAUAAUUUUUAUAUAUUCAUUAAAUAUUAUAUAUACGUAAGGUAUUACGUGAUUGGAUAUUAUGUAGGUGGCGGAUAUUACGUGUGAAAAAGAAUAUUAUUUGUGAUAAAAUACGAUAUUAUGUGGGCGGCGGUUAUUAAGAGAUAGUGUACGUAUAAAAAAAGUGAAAUUUAAUAUUAUUUGUGAUAAAAUACGAUCUUAUGUGGGCAGCGGUUAUUAAGAGAUAGUAUACGUAUAAAAAAAGUGAAAUUUAAUACGCACUAUUUGAGGGAAUUUAGUUAAAAAAAAAUAACAGGUACUAAAUUCAUCAGCCAUUGAAUUAGAUCCAAUAGCUAAAAAUUAAAAUAUUUUAUAAUAAUUUAAAAAUAAAUAAAAUUAUACAAAUUAAAAUAUUUUAUAAGAAUUUAAAAAUAAAAUAAAAAUUAUACGACUGUGACUUAUUCCAUUAAAGUUGAAUGAAUGAUAUUGCUAGUUUGUGAUUGGAAUUAUAUUAAUAGGAAACGGCAUUUUGGGAAAGGAAAAAAUUUUAAAACUCCCUGUUUUAUAAGUAGUAUACUGUAUAUAUAGAGAGAGAGUUUUUUUUUUAGGAGAAAGGUAGCACGCUACCGCUUCACUCAUUGGAUUGAUGAACUAAGCUAUAGAGGUGAGGCAGUUAGAGCCUCGGAAAAAGUGUAAAAAAAAAAAAAACACUACUACUACUACAUGCGCUGCUUUGCAGGGAGGAGGUGAUCCCAAUUCUUCAUCAACUGUUUGAGCUUGUGAACUACUUGCACCAGGUCUGUUUCGAUCUUUCUAAAGAGUGUAUCGUUUCUGGCCUUCCAAAUGACCCACCAGCAGCCAACUAAUUCGGUUAAACUGUUUCUCAAAUAGUGCAUUCCUUUCCUACCCAUCCACCUGUCCCGAACGGAGAUUACGUCAUUCAUUUGUUAGCAAACGGGCUCCGUUGUCAUUCAUUUGUUUUUGAUGAUAGAGCCUCCAAAUCGACGAUCGGCACCGUUGAACAUGAUCUAUACACUUGAAGUGUUUAGAAAUCAAAUUUCAAAUCUUUUUGACAUCAUUUGUCUAAUUAUCAAAAGGUUUCAAAAUUUAUAAUUUUAUUGAUCGAUAUGAGGCGUUUUCUCGUUUAACGGCGUAAAGAUUUUCAAAUCAAUUGAAUUUUUGUUCGAAAAUUCUUUAAACUAUUUAAAACAAGAUCUAUACUCUUGAUCUUGAGUAUAAGACUCCUAUCAUCAUCUUUUAAAGAAUAUUCAUUUAAUCGCACUGGCAUCGAUUUUUCUGUACACUCGAUGGCAAUAAGGGAGAAACAAUGUUCGAAAUGUAUGAAAUUUUGAUUUCUAAACAUUUCAAGUGGUAUAAAUCAUGUUCAUAAUGGUGGUCGAUCGUCGAUUUGGAGGCUCAUAUCGAAACAACCAUGGGAUCCGGUAAUAGAAGCCGCAUAGUCCAUGCCUAUCCGGAUAGUAUUCUCUAGAUAACCUAAUUAUAUCUAUAUAUAUAUAUAUAUUACAGUAUAAUAUACUAUACUUAUAUAUAUAUAAUAUACUAUAUAUAUAGUUAUUAAUAGUAGAUAUAUAGUGGAGGUACCGGCUAUGGUGCUUAAGAAUAAAGAGUUACAGGCACUUGGUGCUUUGUGAUUUUUACCGACUUACGAUCUACAGCCCUUUGAUCAUUUUCCACGCGUUAGACUAUACUUAUUCAACCAUCGACAACCACUCUACACAAGGGGGCCCACAUUAUCACUAGCAUUAUUAACCUAAGAAAAAAAAAAUCAAAAAAAAAAAAACCAAUGGCUUAAAACUACAAGCACAAAUGACUUGGUGUUUUAAAAGAUAGGAGCUCAAUAUAUAUAAUAUAUAUUAUUAGAUUAUAAUAAUUAUAUUAUAUUAUAUAUAUAUAUAUAUAUAUAAUAAUAUAUAUUAUAUAUAUAAAGAAUUAGUAUCACGCCUCGGAUUACACGUUUCUCCGAGCGCGCCAACAGACCCGCCGUAUACAUAGAAAAUUUUUUUGUAUACGAAGUGAUAGUUAUAUUUGUAAUCAUACAAAACUACAACCAGUAGUAUAGAGCUGCUAACAGAACUAAAUAUAAAUAAAUAUCAGGUUCACUAUACAUACAAAGUCUCUAAAAUACAGACAUUACUCGCUCUAGCAAGUAAACAAGCAUAAAUAUGUACAUGAACCAACCCAAAAUUACCUAUAGAUGGUACUCCUCUAGGACUGCAACUAGAGAAUGGAUCUAACUCGCAACUCCCUUUCCAUGGUCAGUAUCAGCGAUAGCAGCAGCCGCAGAAGAAGGCUCUACAAAAAGCGGUUAACAAUUGGGUGUGAGAACUACCGCAAAAAGAAGUAGUUCUCAGUGGGUACCGGUACCGACCUCAACGGCUCACCCACUAAGUCUACAGAAAGCAUGAAUAAGGAUAGUAAAAGAUGCUGGUAAAACUCUAUAGCUAUAUGCCGCCAUAUUAUCGCUAAACACUAUCUGUAGAUAUAGAAAUGCACUCUCUGACCCAACCUCACUAGGGACUGUGAACACAUCCGUCCCGCCUGUCAAAGCUACACCAACCACCACCACGCUGGGUUGUUGGUGGACAAUAAGUCCAACCAAGACACUACAACAUCAAUACAAACACACUAAGCCCGACUCCGGAGUGGCACUCGUGGGCGCUACCCAACCGAGUUUGUAAGCGUGUCUCUACCGAGCUCAAUCAGGCUCUCACAGGCUAUAAUCAAAGCAACUGGGUCUAACUGGUCUAACAACCAACACUCACAUGCCCUAGGCACAACCGGAUGCAAAAAUAGAAACCUGGAUCCACCGUCAACCGCAAUGGCACCCGACAGUCCAAAAUAGUCUACACACUACUGUAAAAUAAGCUCGGCAUCUCAGCACGAGUGUAAACUCAUCCUACACUAAUCUGGGUAUCCACCGCGUACAAACAGCGGCGAUAUAGACAAACCACAGCUCCUAAAGUUAAAUCUGAUAAUUUUCAGAAAAUGACAGUGUAUGGUUCAAUAGUUUUCUCCUAAGUCAAUUUUCAAGUCCAACAGGUAAAACGAAUCUAGAAUUCAAAGCUCCAACACAGAUUUCAUUAAAGCAAUGCAAAUCGGUGAAUUGAGCUACUAACAUGAUACUACACAGGAAGUUUACAUGUUGACAAAAAUCUACGCUUAGGAGGAAAUCCGACGAUUUCGGUAAACUUCAACCUACCUCGAAAAGCUGUCCAACUACGGCGAGAAGUCGAAAGGAGAGGAAACCACACGCUCGCCCGACUUCUAACAGUGCAACUGCAACGCACGCACGCUCGAACGACCCUCCAAAUCGACGUCGAAAAUCUCCCGAGCUCGAGCCACGGCCUCCACCAAGCACACGAUCAAAACUAGAGAAAGAGAGGAAGCUACAACCAGAAGCUCAUCCUCUGCCUCUCUACACCUAUAUAAAGCGGUGGGGAUAAGGUUGAAGGUAACGACACAUUUCUGCCCAAAAUAUCCUUUACCUACUCACAAAUCCAGCUGGAAUACCGGUACCCGAUUUGGUUACCUGUACUCGGCCUCUUAGCCCGCGCACUCGCACACCGGGUACCGGUACCAGCCCGAUGCUUUACCGGUACUCAGCAUCAAUUGGCGCAACCCGAGAGCAUGCUGUCCAAGAUUUACACUGGGGUACCGGUACUCCCCUGCAUGGUACCGGUACUCAAUACUAAAAAACCUGCACUUUGCGGAUUCCAAUAUCAAUACACUGCUCUCGCGUCGCACCGAGUCCGUGUUGCGUCCAUUUCGCGCCAAAAUGACUCCGACUUGUCUCGACACUCUCCAAAUGUGUCGACAAGUCUAAGAUACUGAAAUCUCACUAGCAACCAACCACUAGGGAUACUACAAUUAGACUGGAAUGCUUAUAAUAGCACUAAGUUAUUGGUGCUAUUAGGUUUUCAGCCUUUGCAUGAAGAGAUGUGUAGUUAGAAUAAUGGUUGUCCCCUAAAGUUGAGUUGGUGGUUGGUUGAAAAGUUGAAAAGUAUAAUCUAAUGGAUGAAAAUUGCUAUUAGAAGCAUCCCAAUCGUACUCUCUCUCUCUCUCUCUCUCUCUCUCUCUCUCUCUCUCUAUAUAUAUAUAUAUAUAUAUAUAUGAACCCACGACCCUGUGAACGCGAUCGUGGAGGCCUCGGCGGACGCCUGCUACUCGACUGACCUCCGUCGUCUGGAGCUGGGCGCUUCCUGUCCUUACUCUGUCCCGGCCCCUGAGUCCUCUCCCGCAGCGACACCUCUCCUUUCUCCUCCCAUAAUGCCUGCUCAAUGGACGCAUCCAAAGUCCUCGACCUCUGCGCCCUGACGAACCUGAAUAGAUCGGGUCUCAAACCCUGCUCGAACAAAUAGACCCUAUGUGCCUCAUCUCUGGCUACAAACGGAACACAGUUCAGGAGUCUAGUAAACUCCCGAACAUACUCCUGAACUGUCCGCUCGCCCUGCUGGAUCCUGUUCAAGUCCUCCUCAAUUUUUUGUUUCAUGCUGUUGGGAAAAUAUAUCCCAUACAGCAUUCCACAGAACUCAUCCCACCUCAGCUGCGCCGCCACCAGUCCCUGGUCUCGCCUCGCUCUCCGCCACCAAUCACGUGCAUCACCUGACAAACAGUGUACUCCCAGUGGUACCUGCUCCCCCUCUGGAACGAACAGAUCCUCAAAUAACCUCUCCAUCGCACUGACCCAUCCCUCAACAACCCAGGCCUCAGUGCCGCUACCAUCGAAGAUCGGUGGGUCAAAGCGCCGGAAACGGGCUAAUCUCUCCGUCCACCGCUCCUGCUCGGCCUCAGUCAACGGUACUGGCCCCCUAGCAGGCGCGACUGGCGCUACUGGAACUGCUGCCGACGGAGGAACUGCUGCAGCUGGUAUGAUCACUGGAGUAGUCGGUGGUAGAACAGUCUGCUCUGGUACACUCGGUGCUGAACUCGGUGACUGAGAUAUCCUCUCACACAACCUCUGCAACAACUCCCCGUGCUGCCUCUUCACCUCAGUCAGGGGAGCCAGCUGUGCACUCAGAUCCGAGGGUGUGCUAGCCUCAGGUCGCGCACUCGGCUCCAUAGCAGGGGGUGCACUCGCCUCCGGUCGGGCCCUCUACUCCACAACGAGAGUGCACUGCCUCUACUUGCUCCGGCAUCUCACGAGGUACGGCACGAUCCUGAGUCAACUGUGCACGAUCCCGCGUAGACGGUCGACCUCGGCGACGAUACAUAGCUGCAAGGAACAGAUCGGGGUCAGUUGAAACACAAACACUCUUGACCCAAUCAACGAAAGUCUGGAAGGCAGUUCCUGUUUUCCUCCAAAAUUAUGUCGUCUGCAGCCAACAUAAUUUCUCAGGCCAAAACAGAAACUCCUUCAGUCACUCACUCCACUAUAGGAGGAGUUAGAACAAAUAAUCAUUGACUUUCGCAAUUAAAUUACGCCUCUCGAGUCUUGCUUUCCUAAGGUUUGCCAACUUAGGUUUCCUAGGUCCCAACGACCUACAGCAAAGCUCUGAUACCAACUUAAUCUGUCACGCCCCGGAUGUCUCGUUCCCCGGGCACGCUGACAAAUCCGCCAUAUACAAAGAAAAUUUUCCUGUAUACGAAGCGUCAAAGUGCCUGUAGAAAUACAAUACUACAAACAGUAGCAUAGAGCUGCUCAAAAAAUAAGCUAAAUAUCGGAGUUUCAUAUACAUAACUAGAAUCCAAAAUACAAAGCUACUCGCACUGGCGAGUUAAACAACUAUGUACAUAAACUCCAAAACAAAACUACCUGCAGUAGGGGAAAGCCUCUAGCUCUGACUGUCGGGUAGGGCUCUUAGCUCGCAACGCCCUUACCUCGAUCCUGAUCGGCAGAAGAUGCAGCAGCCGACACCUGUGGCUCUGCAAAACAUAAGUAACAACUGGGCGUGAGAACUACUGUAAAAACAAGUAGUCCUCAGUGGGUACCGCCCAAAACGACAUCGGUCACCCACUAAGUCUACAGAAGGGAGCAAGGAUAGAAGGAAAAGCAGGAAGUACACUCUACCGCUAUCAUCCACUACACUAUCAUGCUCUACACUAACCAACUGUAGGAAAUGUCAAAUCUGACCCAAUCCAAAUCGGGACUGUAAGCAUACCCGUCCCCGGGACUGUGAAUACACCCGUCCCUGCCCCGUUGCGACUAUCAAGCUCUAUCCUCACUAACUGGUCCGUGGAGAGCAAGUCCAACUAGCAUGAGCAACACCAACGCAAAAGCACAAGCCUGACUCCGGAGUGGCACUCGUGGGCGCUACCCAACUGAGUAUGCAGCGUAUCUCUGUCGAGCUCAAACAGGCUCUGGAAAGCCAAAGUCAAGAAAUCGACUCUAAACUGGUCUAACAACCAACAGGUAACAAUACGACAACCAGUACCUUGAAGCAGCACGACGUCAAAGAUGGCGAAAAAAAACAACUCGCCCGACCUCCUCGCAGCAACACGACGACGGAAGUAUGCUCGAACGGCUCCGCGGCGCGACGUCAGCGACGAAUCCGAGCUCCCUCUUGCCUUCAACCGGAUGAGGGAGUUAGAGAGAUGGAUAAAAGCAGCUAGAAGACCUCUCUCACUCUCUCUACACGAAGCUAUAUAGAGGGGAGUGAGGGGUGAUACAAACGAGGGAUAAAAUUACACAUUUAGCCCUCUACCUACCCUCUUGUACCGGUACACGGGCUCCUAUACCGGUACAAGAGCCAACCCGAGAGCAGCUAAAUUCGGUGCGCGCAUCUUGUACCGGUACAGCAACCUCUUGUACCGAUACAACAAGCAGUCCUGCGAUGGUUGUACCGGUACAGCCUGCCCUUGUACCGGUACAGCGAGCAGAAAAUCCUGCUGUUUCGCAGAUUCUCUCGCAGAAUGCUGCCCUCGCGUCGCACGGAGUCCGUUUUGCGCCUAUUUGACGCCAACGCGACUCGAACUUGUCCCGACACUCUCCAGAGCUGCCGACAAGCCUCCACAGCUGAACACCAGGGAUCUCACAUAAAGAAUUAGUGUCACGCCUCGGAUUACACGUUUCUCCGGGCGUGCCAACAGACCCGCCGCCGUAUACAUAAAAAAAUUUUUUGUAUACGAAGUGAUAGUUGUAUUUGUAAUCAUACAAAACUACAACCAGUAGUAUAGAGCUGCUAACAGAACUGAAUAUAAAUAAAUAUCAGGUUCACUAUACAUAUAAAGUCUCUAAGAUACAGACAUUACUCGCUCUAGCAAGUAAACAAGCAUAAGUAUGUACAUGAACCAACCCAAAAUUACCUAUAGAUGGUACUCCUCUAGGACUGCAACUAGGGAAUGGAUCUAGCUCGCAACUCCCUUUCCACGGUCAGUAUCAGUGACAGCAGCAGCCGCAGAAGAAGACUCUGCAAAAAGCGGUUAACAAUUAGGUGUGAGAACUACCGCAAAAAGAAGUAGUUCUCAAUCGGUACCGGUACCGACCUCAACGGCUCACCCACUAAGUCUACAAAAAGCAUGUACAAGGAUAGUAAAAGAUGCUGGUAAAACUCUAUAGCUAUAUGCCACUAUAUUAUCGCUAAACACUAUCUGUAGAUAUAGAAAUGCACUCUCUGGCCCAACCUUACUAGGGACUGUGAACACACCCGUCCCGCCUGUCGAAGCUACACCAACCACCACCACGCUGGGUUGUUAGUGGAGAGUAAGUCCAACCAGGACACUACGACAUCAACACAAACACACUAAGUCCGACUCCGGAGUGGCAUUCGUGGGCGCUACACAACUGAGUUUGUAAGCGUGUCUCUACCGAGCUCAAUCAGGCUCUCACAGGCUAUAAUCAAAGCAACUGGGUCUAACUGGUCUAAUAACCAACACUCACGUGCCCUAGGCACAACCCGAUGCAAAAACAGAAACCUAGAUCCACCGUCAACCGCAAUGGCACCCGACAGUCCAAAAUAGUCUACACACUACUGUAAAAUAAGCUCGGCAUCCCAGCGCGAGCGUAAACUCAUCCUACACUAAUCUGGGUAUCCACCGCGUACAAACAACGGCGAUACAGACGAACCACAGCUCCUAAAGCUAAAUCUGGUAAUUUUCAGAAAAUGACAGUGUAUGGUUCAAUAGUUUUCUCCUAAGUCAAUUUUCACGUCAAACAGGUAAAACGAAUCUAGAAUUCAAAGCUCCAACACAGAUUUCAUUAAAGCAAUGCAAAUCGGUGAAUUGAGCUACUAACAUGAUACUACACAGGAAGUUUACAUGUUGACAAAAAUCUAGGCUUAGGAGGAAAUCCGACGAUUUCGGUAAACUUCAACCCACCUCGAAAAGCUGUCCAACUACGGCGAGAAGUCGAAAGGAGAGGAAACCACGCGCUCGCCCUACUUCUAACAGUGCAACCGCAACGCACGCACGCUCGAGUGACCCUCCAAAUCGACGUCGAAAAUCUCCCGAGCUCGAGCCACGGCCUCCACCAAGCACACGAUCAAAACUAGAGAAAGAGAGGAAGUGUGACACCCUAAUAGUCCCACAUCGGAUGGGAAUGGGUUUGUCAUUGGGUUUAUAAGAGACUUAGACACUAGUAAUAAAAACUGGGCUUAAGCAUUUUGGGCUGGUGUCUGGGCCCAACGAGUUAUUGUUGCUAGUUGGCUGGAUCGUUACAUUUGGUAUCAGAGCCGGUUCACCAGCUGGACAUGUGUGGCGAGUCUCGGCUGAGCCAGGGUCUGGAUGACGGGCUAGCGAGACGAGUCUCACAUCGCCUGGUGAUCUUGGGCUGUGUAUGUGAUUGGACUGACGAGGACAUUAGGGCCUUAACGGGGGGAGUCUGUGACACCCCAAUAGUCCCACAUCGGAUGGGAAUGGGGUUGUCAUUGGGUUUAUAAGAGAUUUAGACACUAGUAAUAAUAACUGGGCUUAAGCAUUUUGGGCCGGUGUUUGGGCCCAACGAGUUAUUGUUGCUAGUUGGCUAGGUUGUUACAAGAAGCUACAACCAGAAGCCCAUCCUCUGCCUCUCUACACCUAUAUAAAGCGGUAGGGAUAAGGUUGAAGGUAACAACACAUUUCUGCCCAAAAUAUCCUUUACCUACUCACAAAUCCAGCUGGAGUACCGGUACCCGAUUUGGUUACCUGUACUCGGCCUCUCAGCCCGCGCACUCGCACAUCGGGUACCGGUACCAGCCCGAUGCUUUACCGGUACUCAGCAUCAAUUGGCGCAACCCGAGAGCAUGCUGUCCAAGAUUUACACUGGGGUACCGGUACUCCACUGUAUGGUACCGGUACUCAAUACUAAAAACCUGCACUUUGCGGGUUCCAAUGUCAAUACACUGCUCUCGCGUCACACCGAGUCCGUGUUGCAUCCAUUUCGCGCCAAAAUGACUCCGACUUGUCCCGACACUCUCCAGAUGUGUCGACAAGCCUCAGAUACUGAAAUCUCACUGGCAACCAACCACCAGAGAUACUACAAUUAGACUGGAAUGCUUAUAAUAGCACUAAGUCGUUGGUGCUAUUAGGUUUUCAGCCUUUGCAUGAAGAGAUGGGUAGUUUGAAUACCCCUAAAGUUGAGUAGGUGGUUGGUUGAAAAGUUGAAAAGUAUGAUCUAACGGAUGAAAAUUGCUAUUAGAAGCAUCCCAAUCGUACUCUCUCUCUCUCUCUCUCUCUCUCUCUCUCUCUCUCUCUCUCUCUCUCUCUAUAUAUAUAUAUAUAUAUAUAUAGAGUUAGACUGCUAUACUAUCAGUAGCACUGAGGCUUUCGCGCUAUCAAGCUAUUUUCGAUAAUGCAGCUUCUGAAUCGAUAAUCGGCUCCGUUAGAUAUGAUUUAUACUAUUGAAAAUAUUUAAAAACCAAAUUUCAUAUUUUUUUCAACAUUAUUUGGCUAGUAAUCAAAAUGGCUCAAAAUUGACAAUUUUGAUGACCGAUAUGACGCAUUUGUGAAUUUAAUGGUAUAAAAUAAUUCAAAUCCGAUGAAAUUUUUAUAAAAAUUUCUCUUCACUAUGUAAGAUCAAUGACUAUGAUCUUAAAUUUAAGUCUUUUAUUACAUCCCAAUCGUUCUCUCUCUCUCUCUCUCUCUCUCUCUCUCUUUGUCUCUCUCUCUCUCUCUCUAAAUGAUGUAGAAAAAUUAUGAAAUUUAGUAUUUAAAUAUUUUCAAUAGUGUAGAUCAAAUUUCACAGAAGUGAUCGUCGAUUUGGAAGCCGCACCAUUAAAAACAACUCAGUAGCACGGAGGCUUCCGUGCUACCGAUAAGCAACCGAACUCUCUCUCUGUCUCUCNAUAUAUUUACAAAUAUAUAAUCGAGCUUCGGAUUUUCGCGCUGAUCAGUUUAAAAACGCAAGUAGGAUGAGGAUGAUUUCCUUUCGGGGUGUGUUUGGUUUGGAAUAUUAUAUUCUGUCAGGAUUACUAUAUUUGGAUUAUCCAAUCUAUAGUUUGAUCGGUAAUGUAGCAUUACAAAUGGUAUAGAAUUAUUCUGAAAAUAUUAUCGAGCGGGGGUGGGUAUCUCAUAUUACUGAUUGUGGGUAAUAUUACAUGUUAUCUAAAAUUACAAGUUUACCCCUCCAAACACCUAAACUGUUUCAAUACAUUAUUUUUAAAAUUUAAAUUUAAAAUUUUAAAUUGUAAAAUUUAAUUUUAAUUUUUAAAUUUUAAAUUUUAAAUUUUAAAUUUUAAAUUUUAAGCUUUUAAUUUUUUAAAUUUCAUAUUUCAUAUUUCAAUUUUCAAUUUUCAAAUCUCAAAUCUUUUUAAACCAUAAAUUUAUAUUUUAAAUUCUAAAAUUUAAAUUUUAAAUUUAUAUUAUAUUUUAAAUUUCAAAUUUAAAUUUCAAUUCAAGUUUUAUACAAAUUAAAAUAAAAUUUAGUAAGAAAUUAUUAUUUGUAAAUAGUAAAAAAAAAUGGUCAAAUAUGACUAACGAUAAUUUUUGAAUAAAUCAUAUUUUAUUGUCAAGAUUACUUAAUUUUAUAAAAUUAAACAAACAUAGUAAUUUUAUAUAUACUGUAAUCUAGUAUUAUAUUACUGGAUUAAACAAAUGCAAUAAUACAGUAUCAAUAGUAAUCUGAUUUAGAAAUCUUAAAUAUCUGAUUAUAUCAAAAUAAUCUGUAAUGCUAUAUAACGCAAACCACUUGCGCCCUCAUGGAAAAAGGAUGAAAUCUGUUUUAAAAUGCAAGUAGGAUGAGAAUGACUGAUCUCACCUCAUGAAAAAAGGAUGCAAUUAAUUUUAUCUCUACCGACAAAAACGGAGAUGCUACUCACUUUCCUGCAACAUUUCUUCUUUCCACUCCUCAGCACUGGAUAUUGUAUUUAGGGCGCGUUUGGUUCGCACUAUGAAAGAUUAUUAGGAAUAAAAAGAUAUCCGAGAAUCUUAUUUUCAUUCAUCCUAUUACUAAGAAUAUAGCAUUCGUGUAUUUGAUUCGUACGGCCAUAUUAUUUAGUUAUGUUAUUUAAGAUUACAAAAAAAAUAUACAAUUAUUUAUUUAUUUUUUAAUUAAUUUUAGAUAAUGCUACAAAAAUUUCAACAUCUUUUUAGAAAAAAAGGAGAAAGAACAUAGGUUAAAGAGAGAAAGCAUAAUUAAAGAAAUAGAAAGAGUCGAGGUUAGAGAGAAUGAGAGAGUUGAGAUUUUAGAAAAAGAAAGAGAGAGAGAGCUUAGUAUAGAGAGAGAAAAAUAAUUGAAGUUUAGAGAGAAAAAGAUAAGUUUAGAGAGAGACAUAAGGUUAGAGUGUAAAGAAAAAUAAUACCAACUAGCCGACGAGUAGAGAGAAAGAAAGAGAUUAGACAUAUUAUGAUUAUCCCGAUCCAUUAGUAUGAGAAUACCCACCCUCUCUCAAGGGAAUGAGAUUAGUACUUUGGGAUGAAUCUCAUUUUCAAGUAAAUCUAGUAUUACCAACUAGAUUACUUAGCGCGUUUAGCCAAACACCGCCAUAUUUUUUUAUUCCUAUUGGAUUACUAGGAAUCUUAAAAAGAUAGCGCUAACCAGACGCACCCUUAAGACAAUCUCCCUAGGAAAAGAAACCCAUGAGAACGGAGAUAAAUUCCUUUUUUUCAUAUUAAAAUAAAAGAUAAUUGCCUAUAUACUCCUCAUACGUUUGAAAAUAUCCGAUUUACCCCUACUUUUUUUUCUUUCUAAAAUACCCCUUAUAUGUUCCACCGUUAUUGCAAAAUACCCCAACAGUUAUCUCUUGUUAAGUUAACUUGAAUUAAACAUGAGUUAAAUAUCUACCACAGUUAAAAAAAAUUAAAAUGUCAAUUUUGCCCUUAACUUUAGGGCAAAUAAGAAAUGUUGGUGAUGGUAGAGAGGUAUAUUAGAAAAGACCAAAAGUCAAAAUACUUUUUGUACCCCUGACUUAAUUUAAGGGCAAAUAAGAAAGUCAGUGAUGGUGGAAGGGUAUUUGAAAGGGUAAAAUAGUAAUUUUACAGAGAUAACAAAGUUAAUUAACAGAUUUUAACUAUAGGGGUAUAUUAGAAAUAGGUUGGAACGUAGAAAGAGUAUUUUCAAUAUUAGCCUUCUAAGAGGGGUAAAUCGAAAAGUCAGAAACCUUUCAGGGGUAUAUAAGUAAUUGCCCCUAAAAUAAAAUUGAGGAUGUGGAAGAGCAUACUAUUUUUUUUUUUUUUUGAGUAAUGCUAGCCCUGCAACUUUUUUUUUUUUUUGUAAAUCUAAGGACUCUAAUACUCCAAUCUUAUCAUCCCUGUCUUUUAUUACAAAAGAAAAAUUAAAUGCUGGCUGCGUUUGGUUCGGGUAGAUGUCACGCCCCGGGUUAUCACGUUUCUUGGGGCACGCUCACAAACCCGCCGUACACAUAGAAAUUUUCGAUGAAUACGAAGCGAUAGCUGUACCUGUAAUCACAUCAUAGCUACAACCAGAAGUAUAGAGUUGCUAAACAGAAACAUGUAUAUAUAAAACAUAAGGUUCAUAGUACAUACAAAAUCUCCGAAUCAACACUAACACCUCGCUCCAGCGAGUAAACCGAACAUAAAGUAUGUACAUGAACAAAAUCCACUACCUCUAACGGGUACUCCACUAGCACAACAACCAAGGGUAGGAAGAAUCUAGCUCGCGACUCCCUUCCCGCAAUCAGAAUCAGCAGCCGUAGACGAAGGCUCUACAAAAAGGGGUCAACAACUGAGUGUGAAAACUACUGCAAAAUAAAGUAGUUCUCAGUUGGUACCGCCACUGACCUCACGGUCCGCCCACUAAGUCUACAGAAAUAUGCACAAAGGAUAGUAAGGAAAGCUAGAAAGAACUUUACAGCUACAUGCAACUAUACUAUCACUAACCAACAUAAUCUAUCUGUAAAUAUAAAUAGGCAUCACAAUAACCCAAUCUCACUAGGGAUUGCAAUACGUCCGUCCCGCCCGUCUAAGCUACACCGUACACCACCGCGAGUGCGGCCGGUGGAGAGCGAGGUCCAAACUGGACUUCUACGACAUCAACGCAAAGCAAGAUAGCCAGACUCCGGAGCGGCACUGUCACGCCCCGUGCCCCGCCUAUUUGGUCGGGUUCAGGCACGCCAACAGACUGCCGAACGGACAGAGUUUUUCCUAUACGUCUUAGGCGUCGCAAUCAAUACAAUGUACGAGGUUCCAACUAGGAACACAUUCCAAUCAGAGAUUGCAUAAGGAAGUAUCAAAAACAUAAAACAACUAAGUUAUUACAACAUUCAUCUUAGGUGUAUUUUACAUCACAAUUUUCUUUUACAAUCAACUUCCAAAAUACAAUCUAGUUAACACAAUUAUUAUAAGUUUGUUUCUUUGUCUUCAAACCCCUAAGCUAGACCACCUCGGGGUACCGCUAUCUCAGUCUCGGGGGUAGGGCCGCUAUCUACGGAGCUACGUCCUUGCCUCGCGCCGCCGCGCCGCUCACGUGCGAACCUGUAACACCCCAAAACAACGUUGGGUGAGAACCAACUCCAUGGUUCCCAGUGGGUACGGCCACCCAAGGAAAAAGCUCAACCAAUAGGUCUAAUGAGGCACUACAACAGGUUAGUUCAAUAACAUAACAACAGAUAUUUACAAAUUUAUUCGAUAUUGAACUACAUGUCAUGCCUCGCGAAAUGCAAUAUGAAACCAUGCAACUAUGCAAGUAGAAUAAAUGAUUUUACUCUCUAUCAUUUUCGUUUUUUACUGCUAGCCAUUCUUUACUACUUGCAACUCUUUUUUUAUUCUUAGCUAUUCUUUAUUCUUUAGCUACAACUUACUCAUCGGCCAUCCUUUCCUAAGGUUACUCUUACCUUAGUCCUCUAUGCUACCCGACUCGGUCUUGAGUCAAUCAACUGCGGAUAAUCCGCGCUCGGUCGGCUCAAGGUGAAGGAACUCUCACAUGCACCUCAGCCUACCACAACCUGCCGCACGCUAUGACUGAGCCACCCGGCGGCGAAAUCGUCGCACAUACGCCACGACAAUGGCUCAAGUCAAGCGGUGGUAUAAUCCACAAACCGGCAUAACUAUCCGGCGGCGAAAUCGUCGCACACGCCACGUCAAUGGUUAGCCCCGGACGGCGAAAUCGUCGCACACGCCCAACACCACUUUGGGUGCUCCAAAAGCUCAGGGAUUCCGAAAUCCAUUUCAUAUAACUCGAGGGUUGGUCUUAACCCUAUAGCAUCGACCUAUCUAGGUUCAAUGUCCUUUCUACCCUAGGUCCACUUGGCUCUAGGCUUAAUGCUUUUACCACAUAACCUAGAUUUACUUUAACUCUAGGUUUAUCCCACAACCUAUCUUCUUUAACACUAGGUUCAUAUUCAUUCUUAUCCAUCCUAGGUCCAUGACACUAGGUUCAUAUCCAACCUAUGUUCAAUAACACUAGGUUCUAUGCCACACUUGUUCAACUUAUGUUCUUUACACUAGGUUUACAUGCCACACUUGUUCAACCUAUAUUCUUUA